AAAUGUGGAACAUCUUAACCUCGCAGGCAACAGCCUCUCAGAUGAAUGUCUCCCAAUACUUCUCAAGUGGUUUGUUAAUGUGACAUUUCUAGAUUUAUCCUGUAACUACAAUUUCACAAUUCUUCCCGAGUGCCUUGGUGAAUGUCACUGUCUUAUGCAUCUUAAUUUGAUGUUUUGCUUGGCUCUUGUGGAAAUUAGAGGGAUUCCACCAAAUCUUGAAAUUCUUUUUGCAGUCAUUUGUUAUUCAUUGAGUUCCUCAAGUAUAAGAAUGUUAAUGAGUCAGGUUUGUUGUUUUUUUAUUGCACUAGUAUUUGACAUAUAGUAUUUCAGUUCAUAGUGUAAUUAUUAUUCUUUUUAUAUAAAUUAACAGAAACUACAUGAGUCUGGAUGCACCCAUAUUCUAUUCCCAAACACAACGGAUAGGAUUCCUGAUUGGUUUGAGCACCAAAGCAGGGGAGACACAAUUUCUUUCUGGUUUGAUAAAGAACUCCCUUCUAUUAGCUUUACUUUUAUUCUUAUUAGUCAGGGGGACUACAUGUUACCAAUAGUCAAAUUCUUUGUGAAUGGCUAUGAAAAAGAGAUAAGUUGCGACGAAUUGACUAGGGAAUUCGGUGAGCUAGUGGAUGAUGACACUGUGUUGGAGAACCAUACAACUUUGUUGCAUAUAAAAUUGGAACAAGAUAAUGAACUCGGUGAAAGACUUUUGAAAAAUGAAUGGAUCCAUGUGGAGUUUAAGUUACAGGAUUAUUAUUGGCACGCUGAGAGAAGAUUAUUCAGAAAUACGCAAAUGGGAAUCCACGUGUGGAAGGAGAAAAGCAACAUGGAGGGGGGUGUGAGAUUCAUUGAUCCUUCAUUAUCACAAUUUAUGCAAAGAUUGGUGGAAGUGGGAGUUUCAGAGAAAGGGGAGGAGGAGGAGGGUUUUAGUGACACGGAGGAGGAUGUAAUAUUGAAGAAUCCUAAUAAUAGAAAGACUUGGGGUACAUUCCUUAGUCUAGGUGCAUCAAAAAGCAACACGGAUGGGGAUGAGAUUGAAAUAUUAAGCAGUGCACAAGAUGAAAGAAAGAUGUGGGGUACAUUCCUCGGUUUAGGUCCAUCAUAAAGUUAACCGUCUUCUUGUUAUUCUCUCAAUCUCAACAUUGCAGGUUUGUGCUUUGAUGUUUAUACUUUGUAUAAAUGUUGAUUAAUUUCUGUAUGUAGUCAGUUACAAAUUCAAUGUUUCUAGUUGGAGAAGUUUCUUAAACCAUGAGACAUGAUGUAAGUUUCUGUGUGUCUAACACCGAUACAUGUAAUACUAUUAAACUAUAUUAUUAUCUCAAAGGACUACCAAUGUCAACGAAUCAGUGUCGGUGUCUAGUUCGGUAUCCAUGACUGUGCUGAUGCUUCAAAAUGUCGAAAUGAAAGUUCUGAGUUUGCAAGUGCUUAAAGGUCAACAAGUAGAUUGUCUUACCGUAACUAUACACAUUUCGUAAACUUGUAUUGAUCUCAUUAAUUAUGAUUCAAAUUAGAACUUUUAUCUCAUAUCUCAUCUAACUAAUGGCACAUGUUUUCAGUGUAACCUAUAAAUGUAUGGAUAAUUUAAGUAGUACAUGCAUUUUUAACUUUUUUGAUGAAAUUUAACGUGACUGCAAUUGAAACAUGAUACACAAUUGAUCAAAAUUCCACUAGCUUAUAAGCCCGCACGAGUUUUACAAUGAGCUAAAUGGUUUGUCGAAUAAUCAAUAUCGAUCUUAUCUGUUGCAGCAUAACUCUAUUGUGUUACCCAUCACAUCUAUUUGAAUGCUUGUUACCUUCAGAGAGGAGAAGCCAUAGCUAUCAAAUUGAAUUUUUAUUUAGCUAUUACAUAAGGAUGAUUCAGAGGCAUCAGAAUCCAUCUCUCGCGGCCUUCAGCUACAACCCUUUAGUCCAGAAAUUUUAGAAGGUGUGGUGUAAUUGAACGGAUCCAAGAUUAAUGUUGUUACAAGUAUGAUUCUUAUAUUUUUAAAGAAUAAAUGCUUUUAAUCAUAAUCUGAAAAAGAAAUUGAUUAUUAUGCCAAAGUAAUAUAUUUCUACAUUUGUCAGGAAACCAUUUGCAACUGCCUUUCUUUUUGCAUUGUCAUACGAGAUGUCUAGAGGUGGUGGUUCACACCACAAAAUUCGUUCAAAAGGGAAUCAGGUAAUCAUAUGCUUUGCAGCUCAGUUGUACUUUGGUGUUUCCACAUUGGGUAUGAAUUGAUCAUUUCACAUAAUCCUUCUACAGCUCGACAUAUUUCAUUUCGUUCUAACCAUGCCUUCCGCUGGUGAGGACUUAUGUUUAGAUUAUUUCUGUAAUGAUCAUGAAAUGUCCCUUCUCCCCAAAAAUGCGGCAAAAACAGUCGCUAUUUUGUGUUCUGACAUAGAUAUUUGGUAGAACUAAAGAUGGAACGGGAAGACUUGUUCUAUACUAAAAAAUUUAUAAUGAAAUGUGUCUACUGUUUAUUUUCUAGCUAUGUUCUAAGUUGUUGUUGAUUUAUUUAUGUAAAUGUGCAUACCAGGUCGAAACGACUAUGAAGUGCUGAGUUUCUCAAACUAAACUCUCCUUACUGGGGAAGGAGCUUUCAGGUCUGCAAGAAAUUAUGUGGGAUAAAGAAAUAAAUCCGAGAACCGACAUUCAUGAGAUCCUUUUGCAAGAGUCGUGACUUUUGUUCUCCAAAAUCCAAAUCAGCGUUCUUGGUGUAGUACUCAAUGUACAACUCUGGUUUUGAUAUGGUGAGACCUGAUGUAAUUUUUUAUGGAGGAUGUUUGUGCUGCAUAUAUUGUUUGAAUUCGAUUAUUUCAUUACUGUACAUUUAGAUGCAUGCAUUAGAUUAUAGAAUGAACACCAUUUUAGAAGUACAUGUAAAUUAUGGAGGCCAACCUUGGAUAAUGUAUAUUUGAAUGUUUUAUCUAAAUGUGUUCUGAAAAAGCCAAUAUCAGGAACUUUGAUCUUGCUAACUUUUGUUGUUCAAUGAUUGUUAUUGCACCAAUAUUUCUUAUGCUAAACUGACAGAAACUAUAUUUCUUAUGCUAACUUACAUGAGGAUAGAUGCACCAAUAUUUGUUUUCCAACAGGAACAGAGGGGAUUCCAGAUUGGUUAAAGCACCAAAUCACGGGACACAAUUUUUUUCUGGUUUCGUAAAUAAAUCCCUUCUAUAACUAGUAUUAUUAUUCCCUUUCUGGAUCCGUCCGAUUCAAAUGAGAAAGUAGUCAAUUUGUCUGUCAAAGGCUAUGAAAAAGUAGUCUGGAUUAAAUGAUGUGAUCUGAAGCUGUCACUAGCAGAGUGCAGUAACAGUAAACUAUGGCCAACACUGCAGAGUGCAGUGUGGCAUGACUAGAAGAGAGAGGAGUCAAGGAAAAGUUAUUUCUGUUAUUCACUCGGAACCAUUAGUACUUUCAAAAUUCUACAGAUCUAAAAUAUAAGCCAGACCAUAUGCAUUAUACAGAAUAGAACUCUCAUUUUAUCGGAUGAAAUUUUUCGGUAUCCACAUAUGAUGCAUGUCCUGAGCAAACCUGCAUUCUUUUUUUUUUUUAAUGCAAAAUAAUCACUAACAUAUCCACUUGUUGAUUUGUUGCAAAUAGCUUAAAGUGGUUCUGUAAUAAAGUGAUUUAUCGUCACAUAAACAAGUGACUUAGAAGUGUUUCCUUUGAAUACUCGUGCUGCUGCAUAAUGAUUCUAAUUUUACCAAGCUUAAGUGUUUUAGACCUGAGUUGCACACACACAACAAGCACAAGCAAGUCACUUUAUUUCUGUGUAACGAGUAACUAAGCAGGUCAUGAAGUUGUUACGAGGAACACAACUUAGAUUUUAGAUCUUGAAUACUUGUAAGAGGCAUGAUUCUAUUUGCUGCACAGUUGCUGAUUUUGUAGUUUUAGAUGUGGAUUUUAUCUUGAAUUUUGGUUUAAAGUGUUUAUAGAAUUUUACAAAUACAAACUUCAUAGCCACUGUAUCAAUAAUUAGUAAUCUUUUUGGUGGGAGUGAUCUGGUAAAUUUUGAUACAACAACUUUGAUAGCCUUUGUAUCAGUAAUUAGUAACGGUGUAACAGAGAAAUUUUUUGGCUAUUCUCGAAAUGAGCGGAGACAGCAAUUUAAGGGAAACUUUGACUUUGUGAUCGCUUAAGUGAGUUAUCAUUUUUUUUCUUUGCCACCUGCUAUGUGUUUUUUGAACUUUUGCAUAUUCUUGUCCUUCCUAUGAAUUAACUUUAAUAACCUAAAGUUAUAUGGUGUUUUAGUUAACUAUGAAAAUUGAAUAUUUGCAUUGUAUGUAGUGUUUAUAAUCUAUUCUGGUUUUUAUCUGAGUCAAAUGAAUUGACAAAAGCUUUCCUCAAUUUUUUUCGCUAGAUCAGGCCUGAACUUCAAUAUCCAAUCCAUCUGGAAUUUGGUAGAGUCCUAUGUGGGAAGAAUGGCAUAAUUAUCUUUCAGAAUGUAAGCUGGUACUGAUGCUUGGAUCGAUGUCCCUCUCUACUACUGAACAUAGACCAAGGGCCUUAACUGGCAAUUAGUUACACACAUUCAUGGAAACAAGGGUUGAAGCAUUCGCUCGCAAGCAACUCAGGUAAUAGAAUUUAAUUUUUAAUUAAAUGGGUUUGCCAUGAUCAUUCAUCAAAAUUCAAUUGCAUAAAGAUAUAAGCAAAUAUAUUCAAUUGCAUAAUUCUUUUACACAUUAUAAAAGAAGACAAACUAUGCAGUGGGGUCACUAUCACCGUAGUUUUUGGUUGAAGUCAUAUGUUGUUUACUUGUUGGUUUUUCAAGUUCUGACAUGAUAUUAUUUUUCUUCCCAUUUCCAGCUGAACUACUUUACGUGCUUCAAUUUUUUUCAAUCACUGCUAAAUUUUAGUGGAUAAGAAACAAAUGAAUCUAAAAAAUUUACGAUCAACCAAAUUCUGUUUGGAGGUGAAUGUUUCUUCAUAAUCUAACUUUGUAAAUGAAUUUUAAGUGAUUUGAAAACAUGGAAUAAGGUCUUCAAUAAAUAAAUAUGUAUCAGGUGCUUUUGGUUCAGUUUUAGACUUUUAGAUGGUAGGGAUCGUGCUUUUGGUUUGAUUUACAAUUAUUGUUUCUUGUACUGCUAUUGUGUAGGUCAGUGUUUUGUACUUUUUUUUUUGUUCCUUAUCUAAGUUUCUAUGGUCGGUCUUUUCGACUAUAAUGGAAUAAUACAUGUUAUGCUACUGCAAUGUAGUUAUUGCUUCUAGCAUGGCAUUUACUAGGCUGAUUUGGUCUUUUCGAACUCAUCCAAGGACUGCAGGAUUUGGAGGACUUGAUCGGAAUUAUGACAAAGCUUUUCAAUUUGGAUUUUAUGGAAGUAUAGGUUGGUCAAAUAUCCUUCAUGCAGAAAUUCAGGAUCUCCUUGUUGGUCUCAAGUUGUGGUGGAAAGCCCGGAAGUUUAUAUGCUAUUAUGAUUCUCUUCACGUGGUGCAGUUAGGUUCAAUGAACACUCAUCACUUUCACCAUUAUGCCAAUAUGUUGGAGAUUUAUCAGAGCUUACAUGAAGAAAGAUUGGAAUUUUUCUCUCCAUCAGACUUUUCCCGAGGGCAAUGCUUGAGCAGAUAUUCUAGCGAAAUUGGGAGUUAGUUGUAUAGAUACCUUGGUUACGGUCUACAUGCUGCCGCAGUUCUUCUCCUCGGCUUUGUUAGUUAAAAUUGUUGGAAUGUCCUUUAUUAGGACUUAGUAACCAAAAAGAAAAGGUUGAUGGAAAAACUUAAAUGGAUUUGUUGAAACCACCACAACCCUUUAUGUUGAUACCUUGCAUUCUCAUGUUACUAUGCCUCCAUUCCCCGAGUAAUACAGUGACUUCAAUCAAAUCCCAUAUAUAUAUUUUAAUCUUAUGGUCUCCUUUUUAAUAUGAUUGUCAAAUAAGAGGUUAAUGCAGAAAGUGAAUAUAGUUAGUUUGUGGUUCUAAUUGUGUUUUACCUCUUUAUAUCAAAUUGGUGCAAUUUUUACUUUCUAUGCUUUGGUUAGAUGUUAAUUAAUAUAUUUAUUUUGCCUCUUCAAAACAAACAAAAUCUAGAAAAGAGAAUUGUAAUGAAACAUUUUACCUCUAAGCAUUAUGUCCAAAAAGUGUUACAAACUUGAAUCAAAAAAGAAAAUAUUUUACAAUCAAACUACAAUUCAUUAUGUAUCAAUUUUACAAACCAAGUAAUGAGAUGGAGGGAGAGGAGAGUCCCUGCAACCAUAGGCGACCACAUCAGUGUCAUCAUCCACUACUGUCGGUGCUUGAGUUCCACUGUGUCUCCAUCAUAUUUGUGAGAGUUAACUUAAAAUCAGAAUUCUGGAGAAUCGUGCCACGAUGGAGAAGCUUCGUGCCACGAUUGUUGAAGCAAAAUUCUGGAGCAAUCACUUUAAAAUUCGUGUCACGAUUGUAUCGUAUCGUGUUACGAUGGUGCGAUUGAAGAUAAAAAUAAAACGUAUUUUUAUUGAAGAUUUGUUUCAGUUUUUUAAGGGAUUACUUUCACUAUAAAUAUAGACCUUGUAUCACAGUAUUUCUUGGAGAGAGAUAGAGGGGGCUGAAACAAGGGUUUAGAAUGGCAACAACAAAACUAGAGUUUGUAUAGAGUUUGUCUCUUUGGAAACACUAGGGUUUGAGGGUUGAUUCACCUUGGGAAACACUAUUAGGAUUGAGUCUCUUGGUUACGGGAAGAGGCUGGGACUUUGGGUAGAAUUAGGCGGGAGACUUAUUCUUGUAACCCAUUGACUUCUCUUUGUAACGUUACUCGUUAUAUAGUGGAUCGGAGGGCUGCUCUCUCCCCAGACUAGGUCAAUUUGGACCGAACUGGGUCAACAAAUUAUUUUGUGUUCUCUAUUCUUUUGUUCUUCUUGCUGUUGUUUUCUACUUUUGGCAUGUGAUUAUAACUGUUCCAUACGCUUUGAUUUUGGUUGCUUGACUAUCCCUUGCUCCACACAUCAAGUUGUUAUUGGUGUGAUUUUUCUCAUCGAAUUCACAACAAUAUUGUGUCGUUCAGUCAUCGCCGAUGUAAGAGAAACCAGGUGGUCGUUUUGUCGCCGGUAGUCCGCUGCUGCUAUUUUUCCCUCUCCUGAUUUCUCCCUUCCCCUCUCAUGUCUCACAUAUAAUCUUCCUCCAUCUCUUUUUCUGUCUGAUUGUUCGCAUAACAAUGCAACAAAACAUGAGAGUUGGCAAGAGUAUAAUCCAUGCAGCCAGAAUGAGAACAAUGCUGCUAUAACAUGUUAAAGUUACCAAACAUGUCAUAAGAAUUGGAACCAAUAAAUGUCAUGCUUAAUAUCAUUGAUAGCAGUGUGUUUUACUUCAACAAAAAAAAAAAAAAUGAACUCUCACAUAGAAGGCUGUGUGAUAGCAGUGUGUCACAAGCAUUACUUGGAACAAUUAGGAUCAUAUAUGUUGGAUCUAUAAUGCUGGAAAAAAGAAGGCAACUUUCUGAGAGUGUGUGCACGUGCGCACUUGUCGUGGAAGAUCAAAUUGAUAAUUGUAAGUGUUGUGAAUUCGAUGAAAAAUCACACCAAUAACAACUUGAUGUGUGGAGCAAGGGAUAAUUAAGCAACCAAAACAAAGCGUAUGGAACAAUUAAAUACAAGCCAAAAAGUAGAAAACAACUGCGAGAAGAACAAAAGAAGAAGAAGAAGAACACAAAGAAAUUUGUUGACCCAGUUCGGUCCAAAUUGACCUAGUCUAGGGGAGAGAGCAGCCCUCCGAUCCACUAUUUGAUAAGUAACGUUACAAAGAGAAAUCAAUGGGUUACAAGAAUAAGUCUCCCGCCUAAUUCUACCUAAAGUCCCAAUCUCUUCCCGUAACCAAGAGACUCCAAUCCUAAUAGUGUUUCUCUCUAUCUCAAUCUCAAAGUUUGCUUUGAUACAAGGUCUAUAUUUAUAGUAAAAGUCCUGCUUAAAAUCUGUAACAAAUCUACUUUAAAUUUGUAACAAAUCUGUAACAAAAACUGUAACAAAUCUGCUCCCAAAAAUACGUUUUAUUUUUAUCCGCCAGCGCACCAUUGUGCCACGAUGAGACCCCAUCGUGCCACGAUUUUUCCAGUGCCUUGCCCAAAUAACUAAAACCUCCAUCGUGCCACGUUGCCUUGCCGUCGUGCCACGAUUCUACAGAAACCUGAUUUUAAGUUAACUCUCACAAUUCUCCACCUUGACUUCAAAUCAGUGAUGAUGCCGAUCAUCAACCUCCUUGCUGCUCAAACCCUUGCUUCCCACUACUCCAAGUAGCUCCACAAGUUUACACCCUCAACCUCUUCAGCCAUCGGAAUGUCUUCCUCCUUCUCGAAGAUGCUUGUAGUCCAACUACGCUAGGAAUUUCAGGUAGUUCUACAAGACUAUACCAUAACCUCUUUAAUACGAGACAUCUCCCGCUUUCCUUGAAGAUCUACUUGUACCCAAUCACCCUUGGCUUUUAGAGUAAUCCACAAGUAUACACCUCAACCCCUUCAGCCAUCGGAAUGUCUUCCGUCUUCUCGAAGGUCCUUGCAGUCCAACUACACUAGGAGUUUUAGGUAGUCCCACAAGCAUUCACCAUACCGUCUUCAACGCAGAACAUCUCCUGCUUCCUUGAAGAUCACCUUGCAUCCAAUCACUCUUGGCAUUCUUUUAGAGUAAUCCCGCAAGCUGUGCUACACAUUCUCCAACUUCAUGAAGAAAUCCCUUGCUCACCAUAGAGCAUAGCACCCAAGGUCUUCAUAGUCGUACCAUUACCGGUGUGUUCAACUCCACCUCACGCUGAGCGUACUCUACCUCAACUAGCAAAUGCGUACAUCCCACUGUCUUCAACCUUGAAACUUCACCUCAACAGGUAGAUCAUGAGUAUUCUUACCACCGCCUCUCCAGGCUGAUGUUGAGUGUUUAACGUCUCUCCAGACGACCACCGCUCCAGUAGGCAUCAAUCCCAAGGUGAGACACAUCACCUUCUUCAUCCUCCAAACAACACCACACCAUCAGAGCACCCGCAUCCUCAUAACCCUCAGAGAUAAUUUGUGCGGAGUUACCAUUAAUCUCCGGACAAUCCUUCUUGAAGUGACCCAUCUUGUGACAGUUGAAGCAUUCAAACCUUGACUUGUUUCCACUCUUUCUCCGGUUACCUCUACCUCCACCAUUCCCUCUUGUGACACUUAGGCCAUCACCGUGUUCAUGAGUCAAGUCCUUGGACUUGGUCAACUCCUUGGUUCUCAAAGCCGCUUGAACUUCUUCCAAGGUAAUAGUGCCUUCCUUGCCAUAGAGCAUGGUAUCUUUGAACGAUUCAAAAGAUUUCGGUAGAGCACACAACAAGAGUAUAGCUUUAUCCUCGUCCUCAAGUUGCACCUCAAUAUUCUCCAAGUCAUCUAGGAUUUUUUUGAACUCCGUAAGUUGCUCAAUGAUGGCCUUUGACUCUUCCAUCCUGAAUGAGUAGAGUCGUUGCUUUAGGAAUUGCUGAUGAGCCAAAGACUUUGUCAUAUACAAAGAUUCCAACUUUGCCCACAUCGAUGCCGCGGUUGCUUCCUUUGCUACUUCUAUCAAAACUUUAUCCCCGAGGCACAAGACAACGACACUCCUGGCCUUGUCCACCAUCUCGGUCUUCUCCGCUCGUGACAUGGUGACCGGUAACGAACCUUCACCCUUCAAAGCUUUCUCACACUUUUGUUGUAUUAACACCGCUUCCAUCUUUACCUUCCAUAACCCGAAAUCGUUAUCUCCGGUAAACUUCUCAAUAUCCUACUUUGAACCCAUGGUACUUGAUUAUCCUUUGACCCUUGCCCCACGGUGGGCGCCAAUUGUUGUGAAUUCGAUGAAAAAUCACACCAAUAACAACUUGAUGUGUGGAGCAAGGGAUAAUUAAGCAACCAAAACAAAGCGUAUGGAACAAUUAAAUACAAGCCAAAAAGUAGAAAACAACUGCGAGAAGAACAAAAGAAGAAGAAGAACACAAAGAAAUUUGUUGACCCAGUUCGGUCCAAAUUGACCUAGUCUAGGGGAGAGAGCAGCCCUCCGAUCCACUAUUUGAUGAGCAACGUUACAAAGAGAAAUCAAUGGGUUACAAGAAUAAGUCUCCCACCUAAUUCUACCUAAAGUCCCAAUCUCUUCCCGUAAGCAAGAGACUCCAAUCCUAAUAGUGUUUCUCUCUAUCUCAAUCUCAAAGUUUGCUUUGAUACAAGGUCUAUAUUUAUAGUAAAAGUCCUGCUUAAAAUCUGUAACAAAUCUGCUUUAAAUUUGUAACAAAUCUGUAACAAAAACGGUAACAAAUCUGCUCCCAAAAAUACGUUUUAUUUUUAUCCGCCAGCGCACCAUCGUGCCACGAUGAGACCCCAUCGUGCCACGAUUUUUCCAGUGCCUUGCCCAAAAAACUAAAACCUCCAUCAUGCCACGUUGCCUUGCCGUCGUGCCACGAUUCUGCAGAAACCUGAUUUUAAGUUAACUCUCACAGUAAGCGGAAGAAAUAUCUUCAUAAACAUUUAUCAGAUAAGAGAAAAUUGGGAAGGAACAAACACAUCAUAUUCUGUAAUGGCUACUUUUGAGCAGUUGUACGAAAUUCAAAAUAACUAUCCGACAUUCAUAAGUGAUGUUACGUUGAACUUAAGCUACUUAUGAAAUGGCAUUCUCGAGACCUAAGGGAUCGCAAUGCAUCUUUGAACUUUUUCGGAAGGAGUAAACAAUUGGAAACAUUUUAAAAUCAAGCAAAACAGAAAACCAAUAUUCUGUCACAAUCCUAGACAAUUUUAUCAUAAAAGACAAGUAGUGGCAGUGAUGCAGGCGAUAGUAUUUCAUCCAGUAAUCAUAGGAUAAAUGAGCAUUGCUGUAACACUAAGACUGAACAAAGAAAUCAAGACGAUGAUGCAGUCAAAGAUCAUACUAAAGAGCACAAAGCAUAUACAGCAAAUAGAACAAAAAAACACAGUCAAUAAAGAUUUGGUAUCAGCUGAUUAAAUGUGUUUCUAUGAAAAACAAAUUGUAUGAAAAUUGUAUUUCACGGUCAGGAUUUAGUUAAGAAUCCAAAUUCAUUCAAAAGAAAUUGAAGCUUCUAUAGGUUCAUCCUCAACUUUGAAUUUUGGAGGUUGCUGUUUAAUUUCCAUGAUAUUAUUGACUAUUGGUCAAACAUAAAAUAAAACUACAUUUUAAAUGACGGAAGUAGUAAGGAAGUUUCGUAGACAAUUUAUUUUUUGUUUAUUUAUUUAUUUAAGUUUUCUCGUUGUUUUAUUGUUUGAAUGGUAACCACAUUUAAGAUAUCAGCAAGAAGAGGUGGUAGUGCAACGAUAUCUACUCUGUGAUUGGUCCACACGCUAUAGGAUGUUGCAAGGAAGUUUCACUUACUACUUUUGUCAUUAGUUUUCUCCUUGUUUUAAAGAAUCCACCUAACAGACCACACAAAUUACUCAUUCAUAUUCUCCAUUUUCAAAGUCUUUUUUCAUCCAUAUUCUUUCAAUUCUCAUGGCUAUGCAAUCACCUUCCCGAGUGUUCCUCAGUUUCAGGGGCAGUGACACUCGCAACAAUUUUACCGGUAAUCUCUAUAAGGCUCUCAUUGACAAGGGAAUUUGUACUUUCAUUGAUGAUAAUGAUCUUGAAAGAGGAGAUGAAAUCACACCCAAACUUGUCAAGGCCAUGGAAGAAUCUAGGAUUUUUAUUCCCAUAUUUUCUGCCAACUAUGCAUCUUCUUCAUUUUGUUUGGACGAACUUGUCCACAUCAUUCACUGCUACAAGACAAAGAGUUGCUUAGUAUUGCCCGUUUUUUAUGAUGUGGAACCUACUCACAUACGACAUCAUAGUGGAAGUUAUGGUGAGCAUCUUACUAAGCAUGAAGGGAGAGGAGAGUCCCUGCAACCAUAGGCGACCACAUCAGUGUCAUCAUCCACUACUGUCGCGUGCUUGAGUUCCACCGUCUCUCCAUCAUAUUGUGUCGUUCAGUCAUCGCCGAUGCAAGAGAAACCAGGUGGUCGUUUUGUCGCCGGUAGUCCGCUGCUGCUAUUUUUCCCUCUCCUGAUUUCUCCCUUCCCCUCUCAUGUCUCACAUAUAAUCUUCCUCCAUCUCUUUUUCUGUCUGAUUGUUCGCAUAACAAUGCAACAAAACAUGAGAGUUGGCAAGAGUAUAAUCCAUGCAGCCAGAAUGAGAACAAUGCUGCUAUAACAUGUUAAAGUUACCAAACAUGUCAUAAGAAUUGGAACCAAUAAAUGUCAUGCUUAAUAUCAUUGAUAGCAGUGUGUUUUACUUCAACAAAAAAAAUAUGAACUCUCACAUAGAAGGCUGUGUGAUAUUGUAAAGUCCACUUGUAUGUAACUUGUCAUUGCUCAAUGAACAGAGCUUUGAGCGAUAAUUAUGUAGUACACAUUGUCACAAGCAUUACUUGGAACAAUUGGGAUCAUAUAUGUUGGAUCUAUAAUACUGGAAAAAAGAAGGCAACUUUCUGAGAGUGUGUGUGCACGUGCGCACUUGUCGUGGAAGAUCAAAUUGAUAAUUGUAAGCCGCAGAAAUAUCUUCAUAAACAUUUAUCAGAUAAGAGAAAAUUGGGAAGGAACAAACACAUCAUAUUCUGUAAUGGCUACUUUUGAGCACUUGUACGAAAUUCAAAAUAACUAUCCGACAUUCAUAAGUGAUGUUACGUUGAACUUAAGCUACUUAUGAAUUGGCAUUCUCGAUACCUAAGGGAUGGCAAUGCAUCUUUGAACUUUUUCGGAAGGAGAAAACAAUUAGAAACAUUUUAAAAUCAAGCAAAACAGAAAACCAAUAUUCUGUCACAAUCCUAGACAAUUUUAUCAUAAAAGACAAGUAGUGGCAGUGAUGCAGGCGAUAGUAUUUCAUCCAAUAAUCAUAGGAUAAAUGAGCGUUGCUGUAACACUAAAGAGCACAAAGCAUAUACAGCAAAUAGAACAAAAAAACACAGUCAAUAAAGAUUUGGUAUCAGCUGAUUAAAUGUGUCGCUAUGAAAAACAAAUUGUAUGAACAUUGUAUUUCACGGUAAGGAUUUAGGUAAGAAUCCAAAUUCAUUCAAAAUAAAUUGCAGCUUCUAUAGGUUCAUCCUCAACUUUGCGACCUUAAAAUGAAAUUUGUGUGAGAUAUAUGCACGCAAAAGAAAUUCGAAGAGAAUGUUCUUAAAUCACCAUAACUUAUAACUUGACAAAUAAAAAAAAGAGAUGUGACAUAAUGUUAUGUGUUUUGCUAAGGCAGUUUUUGUUUGUGAUUUUAUUAGAAUGUUUUAGUAUCUAGGGUGUCGUGCAGGAAGCGUGGUGGGGUCAAAUUCACAUCUAACUUACUGCUGAUCAGCAACGUCGUAAAGGCGAUCAUACAUUUUAUUGAUAUCCCAACAACCACAAUCAUAUACUUCUUUGUGAAAAAUAAGAAAAAUUUGCCUUGCUUCGAUAUUUGUACCGUAGUUUGUUUUAUCUCUUAUCUCAAUAUUUGUGUGUAAGCUGCAAUUUUCCAUAGCUUUCUUAGCUCUGUUAUUUGAUGAAAUUUUUUAUAGGGUCUAAAACUUGAAAUUUAAAACUUUUAUAGGGAUAUAAAACAUAUUUAACAUUUUUUUUAAACAUAAGGCUUUGAUAAUAUUUGCAUAUUUACUACUUGAGUUUUCAUGAUGCUGCUGGUUGAAUAGAAGACUGCAGCUGGUUGAUGCGACUGGGGCAUUGUGUUUUGAUACCAGACCUUCAUUUGACUUGGAAUUCCAAUGACAUAUUUGAUGUCACAUUUCUCUUUGCAUCCACACUACCGUCCCUAGCUAUUUGAAAACUUGGAUAAUGAUAUAUGUCGCGAAAAAAUUACUCGUGAUGGCAUCACGACUCCUAACAGCUGAAGUUCAUUUGCGAUGGUUUCGGGAACGUUUGCUUCGCAAUGAAUAGCACUGCUUUGAACUUUUAGGCAGCAUAUGACUUCGGUAAUGGUAUCAUUUUCCCUAAAUCUCAAAGAAGCUAGAAAUGAGGAUUUAAAAUAGUCCCACGUCGACCAGAAAAGUAAUAAGGUAUUGUUUAUAAACUUUGAUGUGUACCAUAUAUGUUACUUUGUUGAGGAAUGUGGAGAGUCUAAACGUGAUGUUACUCCAAGUUCUUCUUCUUCCAUUGUUUUUAAUGAAAGAAUUGAAUAUGUUACCGUUCCGUUCCUAUUUGAACUUUUAAAAUAGUCCCACGUCGACCCAAAAAGUAGUAAGAUGGUAUUUAUAAACUUUAAUGUGUACCAUACAUGUUACAUUGUUGAAGAAUUGAGAGUAACGUGGAUUUGGAUGUUAUCCUUAGUACUUCUGUAAUGGUUUUUAAUGAAUGAGUUGAACAUAUUUUUUAAAGUAUAACUUGGUUCCUUUUAUUUAAUUUCCAUAGUUUAUGAUGCAAGAUCGUUUUGUUAAUCUUUUUUUUUUGAACUAGAAGAUCGUUUUGUUUGUAAUCAUAUAAAAUAUUCUUCAACUUUUUAAAUUAUUGAAUUUUUUUUUUUUUUUAUGGAAGGUUAUUGAAUAAUUUUUGUGUACCACUAAUAUGUCUUCUCUCACCCAAUGCCCACUAUUUUUUCCAGCAAAACCUUCAUUGUGAGCAGGAAAAAAAAAAGCUUUCAUUCCUCCACAAGCUUAAUUAUAAUUAUUAUCUUGAAUCUUAAAAAAGAAACUCCAAAGUUCAUAUAAUUUGAAUUGGAACUAAAAUUUUCCUCAUGAAAAAUUGAUAAAGAGAUUUCAAUUCUGAUUCUCUAUUAGUAGCAAAGUUGUCAAAAUCAGGACUUUACUUCAGGUCGAAAGGAAAUAGCAAAAUUGGGACUCGUAAAAUCCCAAUCAAAAUCGAAUGAUUUUACUCAAUGACUUUUGUAGAAUCGAUAUUGGAAAUUGUAAAAUCGCAAUCAAAAUCGAUGGAUUUUACCAAAAAAUAAUAAUACUAACUAUAUGUUAUAAAUGGUAUAUAGUCAUAAAUAACUUAGUUUAUAAGAAAUCGUAAAAUGACAAUCAAAAUUGAUGGAUUUUGCUUAUUUUGGGAUUCUAUUAUGAAUUUGAGUCAUUGAAGGUGAAGAAAGUCGCAAAAUCCUAGAUUUUAAGAUUUAAGUCGGGAUUUUGACAACAAUACUUAGUAGUAUAUCUAACUUUCUAUUUUCCUAAUGAAUCCAUUUUCGGGUCAAUCCAAACCCAAUUUCAAUGAUGUGGAGUAAUGUAAAAUAUGGGGGCGUCGAUUGCAUGUUCCAAAUCAUCACUGUUCGCAGCGACACCACAACUCAUUGUCAAUAGAAGCUCGUCCUCUUCUCAUCCCCAUUGCAGCAGCGUUGCUGCAGACGUUCAUAUUUUGAAAGGUUUACUCAAACACACUAAACAUGGUAGAGGGUCUUUAUAUCUGUCAUGAGAAGUAAAACACAUCAAAGAUAAAAAAUAAAAAAUAAAAAUAAAAAAAGACAAGAAAUCCAGAAUUAAGAUAAAAGGAAAUCUUGAAAGACAACCACGAAUCUCGAAAAAUGGAAAGAAUUUUUUUAAGAACCACCGACAAUUUUCUUUAUUUUGCGUUUGGAAGAAGAAGAAGAUGAUGGGAAUGGUAAAAAGAACCCUAAUAUAAAGAGUAAGGAUUGGAUGGAGAAGACAUAAAUGUUACUUUUUUUUUUAUUUCCAACAAAUCUCGUCCUUUAAUUUACUUGUUAGUCCAAUGGUGUGAUAUAUUAGGGGUACACCAGUGACUUGCUUAAUUUCAACCUAUUUUUUAGCUGUACUUGUAGUUUAAUUGGUGAUAUAUUCAUCUGUCAAAGGAAGUAUGCAAAAGAGAUGUUAAAGAAAUUCAAUAUGGAUUACUGUAAAAGCAUGAGCACUCCUACGUGUCCAAAGGAGAAGCUAUGCAAGGAUGUUGAAGAAGAACAAGUGGGUGAAACACUUUACGGAAGUUUAAUUGGCUGCUUAAUGUAUCUUACAACUACAAGACCAGAUAUUUUAUAUGCUGUAAAUGUUCUUUCAAGAUUCAUGAAUUGUGCUAAAGAAUCUCAUUUCAAAGGAGCAAAAAGAGUGUUGAGGUAUGUCAAGGGAACCUUAAAUUAUGGCAUUAAGUUCUGUCGAUCGGAAAAAUUCAAGUUGCAAGGUUACUCUGAUAGUGAUUGGGCAGGAUCUUUAGAUGACAUGAAAAGCACUUCAGGCUACUGUUUUAGUUCUGGGAUAGGGAUAUUCUCUUGGAGUUCAAAAAAACAAGAAAUUGUUGCACAAUCAACAGCUGAAGCAGAGUUUAUUGCAGCCACAGCAGCUGUUAAUCAGGCCUUGUGGCUAAGAAAAGUUCUAACUGAUUUGCACUUAGAGCAAAAGGAAACUACUGAGGUAAUGGUGAACAACCAGGCAGCCAUUGCCAUCUCCAAAAAUCCUGUUUUUCAUGGUAAAACAAAGCAUUUUAGUAUUAAAUUAUUUUUCCUCAGAGAUGUUCAAAAGGAUGGUGAUGUGUGUUUGAAGUACUGCAAGACUGAAGACCAUUUGUCAGAUAUCUUUACAAAAGCUCUUCCAAAAGGCAGGUUUGAGUUAAGGGAGAAACUUGGAAUAUCCAACUACUGAUACAAGGAGGAGUGUUGAACGUGUGUAUCAGCAGUUGUUACUGCCAGCUGCACUGAUUGACCAAGUCUUUAGGAGAAUUUGUUUUAAUAUUUCAGUUUUUAAUUAGCUAAUAAAGUAGUGGCUAAAGAUUAGGAGUUAGUUACUCAUUAUUUGUUUUUAUUUAAGUCACAGCUUUGUAUUUUGACAGUAGUUUUUCAUUCAAUAAAGCUUAGUUUUUCCUUCCUAUUUUAUGAGUUACGUAUAAACACCAAACAGUAUUUCAUCCAGUAAUCAUAGGAUAAAUGAGCAUUGCUGUAACACUCAGACUGAACAAAGAAAUCAAGAAGAUGAUGCAGUCAAAGAUCAUACUAAAGAGCACAAAGCAUAUACAGCAAAUAGAACAAAAAAACACAGUCAAUAAAGAUUUGGUAUCAGCUGAUUAAAUGUGUUUCUAUGAAAAACAAAUUGUAUGAAAAUUUCACGGUAAGGAUUUAGUUAAGAAUCCAAAUUCAUUCAAAAGAAGAGGUUGCUGUUUAAUUUCCAUGAUAUUAUUGACAAUUGGUCAAACAUAAAAUGUACAUUUUAAAUGACGGAAGUAGUAAGGAUGUUUCGUAGACAAUUUAUUUUUUGUUUAUUUAUUUAUUUAAGUUUUCUCGUUGUUUUAAAGAAGAGGUGGUAGUGCAACGAUAUCUACUCUGUGAUUGGUCCACACGGCUAUAGGAUGUUGCAAGGAAGUUUCACUUACUACUUUUGUCAUUAGUUUUCUCCUUGUUUUAAAGAAUCCACCUAACAGACCACACAAAUUACUCAUUCAUAUUCUCCAUUUUCAAAGUCUUUUUUCAUCCAUAUUCUUUCAAUUCUCAUGGCUAUGCAAUCACCUUCCAGAGUGUUCCUCAAUUUCAGGGGCAGUGACACUCGCAACAAUUUUACCGGUAAUCUCUAUAAGGCUCUUGUUGACAAGGGAAUUAAUACUUUCAUUGAUGAAAAUGAUCUUCAAAGAGGAGAUGAAAUCACAUCAUCACUUGUCAAGGCCAUCGAAGAAUCUGGGAUUUUUAUUCCCAUAUUUUCUGCCAACUAUGCAUCUUCUUCAUUUUGUUUGGACGAACUUGUCCACAUCAUUCACUGCUACAACACAAAGAGUUGCUUAGUAUUGCCCGUUUUCUAUGAUGUGGAACCUACUCACAUACGACAUCAGAGUGGGAGUUAUGGUGAGCAUCUUACUAAGCAUAAAGAGGGGUUCCAAAAUAACGAGAAAAACAUGGAGCGAUUGCGUCAAUGGAAGAUGGCUCUUACUCAAGCUGCUAACUUGUCCGGCUAUCAUUAUAGUCCUCAUGAGUACCCUACUUUACUUAAAUCUUGUUUUUUAUAUUUUAUUUCUUUAAUUUUUAUGCCUAAAUAAUCUACUCUUAAAGCUUAAACAUGGAGGGAUUUCUAUCAAUGGUUUUAAAACUAGUGUAAGUUAUUUAUAUGUCAAAAAAGUUAGAAUUGCAUAAUAUAUUAUCAAUACAUGGAUGUGAUUUUGAUUCUAGUGUAUGUUCUAACUUACCUUAUUGGACAUGAAUAGAUCUGAAUGCAAGUUUAUUGAGAAGAUAGUCGAAGGCAUCUCCAACAAGAUCAAUCAUGUUUUUUUAAACGUAGCCAAAUACCCUGUUGGAUUGCAGUCCCGAAUAGAACAAGUGAAAUUGCUUCUUGACAUGGGCUCUGAGAAUGAGGUCCGCAUGGUAGGAAUUUUUGGUACCGGAGGCAUGGGUAAAUCAACACUUGCAAAAGCAGUUUUUAAUUCUAUUGCUGAUCAAUUUGAAGGUGUAUGUUUUCUUCAUAAUGUCAGAGAGAAUUCAACUCUUAAGAACUUGAAACAUCUCCAGAAGAAGCUCCUUUCAAAAAUAGUUAAAUUUGACGGUCAGAUAGAAGAUGUUAGUGAGGGAAUACCAAUUAUAAAGGAAAGACUAUCUAGAAAGAAGAUUCUUUUGAUUCUUGACGAUGUUGACAAACUGGAGCAGCUAGACGCUUUGGCUGGAGGACUUGAUUGGUUCGGUCUUGGAAGCAGAGUCAUCAUUACCACUCGUGAUAAACGCUUACUAGCCUAUCAUGUGAAUACAAGUACACAUGCAGUAGAAGGGUUGAAUGAGACAGAAGCUCUUGAAUUAUUGAGCCGAAAUGCUUUUAAAAAUGACAAAGUUCCUUCAAGUUAUGAAGAUAUUUUAAACCGUGUAGUUACUUAUGCAUCUGGCCUUCCGUUAGCUAUAGUAACAAUAGGGGCCAAUUUGAUUGGAAGGAAGGUAGAAGAUUGGGAGCGUAUAUUAGACGAGUAUGAAAAUAUUCCCGAUAAAGAUAUCCAAAGGAUACUUCAAGUAAGCUAUGAUGCUUUGAAGGAAAAGGAUCAGAGUGUCUUUCUAGACAUUGCUUGUUGCUUCAAAGGGUGUAAAUGGACAAAGGUUAAAAAAAUACUUCAUGCUCAUUAUGGCCAUCCCAUAGAACAUCAUGUUGGAGUGUUGGCUGAAAAAUCUCUCAUAGGCCAUUGGGAAUAUGACACUCAUGUGACCUUACAUGACUUGAUAGAGGACAUGGGUAAAGAAGUCGUCCGACAAGAAUCUCCCAAGAAGCCUGGAGAACGCAGUAGGUUGUGGUUUCGCGAUGAUAUAGUUAACGUUUUAAGAGAUAAUACGGUAAAGAAAACUAAUAUUUAUGAACAAUUUGUUGUUUUAGCUUUAGCCAUGACCUUGAUCAUCCUGCCACCUCAUACUAGUGUUUUUUAUUCACUUAAUUACAUGUAUAUUACUCUAUAAUAUUUGUAUUAUGAUUUAUUCUUUUUUUAUUUUGUUAAAAGGGAACUGGGAAUAUUGAAAUGAUAUAUCUCAAAUAUGCCUUCACGGCAAGAGAAACAGAGUGGGAUGGAAUGGCUUGCGAGAAGAUGACAAAUCUCAAAACACUUAUCAUUAAAGAUGGUAACUUUUCAAGGGGUCCUGGGUAUCUUCCAAGUAGUUUGAGAUAUUGGAAAUGGAUAAGUAGUCCUUUGAAGUCUCUAUCUUGUAUUUCGAGCAAGGCAAGUGAAAUAGGUUCAUUUUUCAAUUGUGUAUAUUGAUAAUUCACUAUUAGAUUAUAAUUUUCAUUUCAACUUAUUUAAUUUGUUUUUUUAUGAAGGAGUUCAACUAUAUGAAAGUUAUGACAUUGGACGGUUCUCAAUAUUUAACCCAUAUACCCGAUGUCUCAGGUCUUCCAAAUCUAGAAAAGUGCUCCUUUCGAGGAUGUGAUAGUUUAAUUAAAAUUCACAGUUCGAUUGGACAUCUAAAUAAACUUGAAAUCUUAGAUACAUUUGGUUGCAGCGAACUUGAGCAUUUCCCACCCUUACAGCUGCCCUCUCUUAAGAAAUUUGAAAUCACUGAUUGUGUGAGUCUCAAGAAUUUUCCAGAAUUAUUAUGUGAGAUGACAAAUAUAAAAGAUAUUGAGAUAUAUGAUACUUCCAUAGAAGAAUUGCCAUAUUCAUUUCAAAAUUUCAGUAAACUUCAACGGUUAACAAUAUCUGGAGGCAACCUACAGGGAAAGCUCAGGUUCCCAAAAUAUAAUGAUAAAAUGAAUUCAAUAGUGAUUUCAAAUGUGGAACAUCUUAACCUCGCAGGCAACAGCCUCUCAGAUGAAUGUCUCCCAAUACUUCUCAAGUGGUUUGUUAAUGUGACAUUUCUAGAUUUAUCCUGUAACUACAAUUUCACAAUUCUUCCCGAGUGCCUUGGUGAAUGUCACUGUCUUAUGCAUCUUAAUUUGAUGUUUUGCUUGGCUCUUGUGGAAAUUAGAGGGAUUCCACCAAAUCUUGAAAUUCUUUUUGCAGUCAUUUGUUAUUCAUUGAGUUCCUCAAGUAUAAGAAUGUUAAUGAGUCAGGUUUGUUGUUUUUUUAUUGCACUAGUAUUUGACAUAUAGUAUUUCAGUUCAUAGUGUAAUUAUUAUUCUUUUUAUAUAAAUUAACAGAAACUACAUGAGUCUGGAUGCACCCAUAUUCUAUUCCCAAACACAACGGAUAGGAUUCCUGAUUGGUUUGAGCACCAAAGCAGGGGAGACACAAUUUCUUUCUGGUUUGAUAAAGAACUCCCUUCUAUUAGCUUUACUUUUAUUCUUAUUAGUCAGGGGGACUACAUGUUACCAAUAGUCAAAUUCUUUGUGAAUGGCUAUGAAAAAGAGAUAAGUUGCGACGAAUUGACUAGGGAAUUCGGUGAGCUAGUGGAUGAUGACACUGUGUUGGAGAACCAUACAACUUUGUUGCAUAUAAAAUUGGAACAAGAUAAUGAACUCGGUGAAAGACUUUUGAAAAAUGAAUGGAUCCAUGUGGAGUUUAAGUUACAGGAUUAUUAUUGGCACGCUGAGAGAAGAUUAUUCAGAAAUACGCAAAUGGGAAUCCACGUGUGGAAGGAGAAAAGCAACAUGGAGGGGGGUGUGAGAUUCAUUGAUCCUUCAUUAUCACAAUUUAUGCAAAGAUUGGUGGAAGUGGGAGUUUCAGAGAAAGGGGAGGAGGAGGAGGGUUUUAGUGACACGGAGGAGGAUGUAAUAUUGAAGAAUCCUAAUAAUAGAAAGACUUGGGGUACAUUCCUUAGUCUAGGUGCAUCAAAAAGCAACACGGAUGGGGAUGAGAUUGAAAUAUUAAGCAGUGCACAAGAUGAAAGAAAGAUGUGGGGUACAUUCCUCGGUUUAGGUCCAUCAUAAAGUUAACCGUCUUCUUGUUAUUCUCUCAAUCUCAACAUUGCAGGUUUGUGCUUUGAUGUUUAUACUUUGUAUAAAUGUUGAUUAAUUUCUGUAUGUAGUCAGUUACAAAUUCAAUGUUUCUAGUUGGAGAAGUUUCUUAAACCAUGAGACAUGAUGUAAGUUUCUGUGUGUCUAACACCGAUACAUGUAAUACUAUUAAACUAUAUUAUUAUCUCAAAGGACUACCAAUGUCAACGAAUCAGUGUCGGUGUCUAGUUCGGUAUCCAUGACUGUGCUGAUGCUUCAAAAUGUCGAAAUGAAAGUUCUGAGUUUGCAAGUGCUUAAAGGUCAACAAGUAGAUUGUCUUACCGUAACUAUACACAUUUCGUAAACUUGUAUUGAUCUCAUUAAUUAUGAUUCAAAUUAGAACUUUUAUCUCAUAUCUCAUCUAACUAAUGGCACAUGUUUUCAGUGUAACCUAUAAAUGUAUGGAUAAUUUAAGUAGUACAUGCAUUUUUAACUUUUUUGAUGAAAUUUAACGUGACUGCAAUUGAAACAUGAUACACAAUUGAUCAAAAUUCCACUAGCUUAUAAGCCCGCACGAGUUUUACAAUGAGCUAAAUGGUUUGUCGAAUAAUCAAUAUCGAUCUUAUCUGUUGCAGCAUAACUCUAUUGUGUUACCCAUCACAUCUAUUUGAAUGCUUGUUACCUUCAGAGAGGAGAAGCCAUAGCUAUCAAAUUGAAUUUUUAUUUAGCUAUUACAUAAGGAUGAUUCAGAGGCAUCAGAAUCCAUCUCUCGCGGCCUUCAGCUACAACCCUUUAGUCCAGAAAUUUUAGAAGGUGUGGUGUAAUUGAACGGAUCCAAGAUUAAUGUUGUUACAAGUAUGAUUCUUAUAUUUUUAAAGAAUAAAUGCUUUUAAUCAUAAUCUGAAAAAGAAAUUGAUUAUUAUGCCAAAGUAAUAUAUUUCUACAUUUGUCAGGAAACCAUUUGCAACUGCCUUUCUUUUUGCAUUGUCAUACGAGAUGUCUAGAGGUGGUGGUUCACACCACAAAAUUCGUUCAAAAGGGAAUCAGGUAAUCAUAUGCUUUGCAGCUCAGUUGUACUUUGGUGUUUCCACAUUGGGUAUGAAUUGAUCAUUUCACAUAAUCCUUCUACAGCUCGACAUAUUUCAUUUCGUUCUAACCAUGCCUUCCGCUGGUGAGGACUUAUGUUUAGAUUAUUUCUGUAAUGAUCAUGAAAUGUCCCUUCUCCCCAAAAAUGCGGCAAAAACAGUCGCUAUUUUGUGUUCUGACAUAGAUAUUUGGUAGAACUAAAGAUGGAACGGGAAGACUUGUUCUAUACUAAAAAAUUUAUAAUGAAAUGUGUCUACUGUUUAUUUUCUAGCUAUGUUCUAAGUUGUUGUUGAUUUAUUUAUGUAAAUGUGCAUACCAGGUCGAAACGACUAUGAAGUGCUGAGUUUCUCAAACUAAACUCUCCUUACUGGGGAAGGAGCUUUCAGGUCUGCAAGAAAUUAUGUGGGAUAAAGAAAUAAAUCCGAGAACCGACAUUCAUGAGAUCCUUUUGCAAGAGUCGUGACUUUUGUUCUCCAAAAUCCAAAUCAGCGUUCUUGGUGUAGUACUCAAUGUACAACUCUGGUUUUGAUAUGGUGAGACCUGAUGUAAUUUUUUAUGGAGGAUGUUUGUGCUGCAUAUAUUGUUUGAAUUCGAUUAUUUCAUUACUGUACAUUUAGAUGCAUGCAUUAGAUUAUAGAAUGAACACCAUUUUAGAAGUACAUGUAAAUUAUGGAGGCCAACCUUGGAUAAUGUAUAUUUGAAUGUUUUAUCUAAAUGUGUUCUGAAAAAGCCAAUAUCAGGAACUUUGAUCUUGCUAACUUUUGUUGUUCAAUGAUUGUUAUUGCACCAAUAUUUCUUAUGCUAAACUGACAGAAACUAUAUUUCUUAUGCUAACUUACAUGAGGAUAGAUGCACCAAUAUUUGUUUUCCAACAGGAACAGAGGGGAUUCCAGAUUGGUUAAAGCACCAAAUCACGGGACACAAUUUUUUUCUGGUUUCGUAAAUAAAUCCCUUCUAUAACUAGUAUUAUUAUUCCCUUUCUGGAUCCGUCCGAUUCAAAUGAGAAAGUAGUCAAUUUGUCUGUCAAAGGCUAUGAAAAAGUAGUCUGGAUUAAAUGAUGUGAUCUGAAGCUGUCACUAGCAGAGUGCAGUAACAGUAAACUAUGGCCAACACUGCAGAGUGCAGUGUGGCAUGACUAGAAGAGAGAGGAGUCAAGGAAAAGUUAUUUCUGUUAUUCACUCGGAACCAUUAGUACUUUCAAAAUUCUACAGAUCUAAAAUAUAAGCCAGACCAUAUGCAUUAUACAGAAUAGAACUCUCAUUUUAUCGGAUGAAAUUUUUCGGUAUCCACAUAUGAUGCAUGUCCUGAGCAAACCUGCAUUCUUUUUUUUUUUUAAUGCAAAAUAAUCACUAACAUAUCCACUUGUUGAUUUGUUGCAAAUAGCUUAAAGUGGUUCUGUAAUAAAGUGAUUUAUCGUCACAUAAACAAGUGACUUAGAAGUGUUUCCUUUGAAUACUCGUGCUGCUGCAUAAUGAUUCUAAUUUUACCAAGCUUAAGUGUUUUAGACCUGAGUUGCACACACACAACAAGCACAAGCAAGUCACUUUAUUUCUGUGUAACGAGUAACUAAGCAGGUCAUGAAGUUGUUACGAGGAACACAACUUAGAUUUUAGAUCUUGAAUACUUGUAAGAGGCAUGAUUCUAUUUGCUGCACAGUUGCUGAUUGUGUAGUUUUAGAUGUGGAUUUUAUCUUGAAUUUUGGUUUAAAGUGUUUAUAGAAUAUUACAAAUACAAACUUCAUAGCCACUGUAUCAAUAAUUAGUAAUCUUUUUGGUGGGAGUGAUCUGGUAAAUUUUGAUACAACAACUUUGAUAGCCUUUGUAUCAGUAAUUAGUAACGAUGUAACAGAGAAAUUUUUGGCUAUUCUCGAAAUGAGCAGAGACAGCAAUCUAAGGGAAACUUUGACUUUGUGAUCGCUUAAGUGAGUUAUCAUUUUUUUUCUUUGCCACCUGCUAUGUGUUUUUUGAACUUUUGCAUAUUCUUGUCCUUCCUAUGAAUCAACUUUAAUAACCUAAAGUUAUAUGGUGUUUUAGUUAACUAUGAAAAUUGAAUAUUUGCAUUGUAUGUAGUGUUUAUAAUCUAUUCUGGUUUUUAUCUGAGUCAAAUGAAUUGACAAAAGCUUUCCUCAAUUUUUUUCGCUAGAUCAGGCCUGAACUUCAAUAUCCAAUCCAUCUGGAAUUUGGUAGAGUCCUAUGUGGGAAGAAUGGCAUAAUUAUCUUUCAGAAUGUAAGCUGGUACUGAUGCUUGGAUCGAUGUCCCUCUCUACUACUGAACAUAGACCAAGGGCCUUAACUGGCAAUUAGUUACACACAUUCAUGGAAACAAGGGUUGAAGCAUUCGCUCGCAAGCAACUCAGGUAAUAGAAUUUAAUUUUUAAUUAAAUGGGUUUGCCAUGAUCAUUCAUCAAAAUUCAAUUGCAUAAAGAUAUAAGCAAAUAUAUUCAAUUGCAUAAUUCUUUUACACAUUAUAAAAGAAGACAAACUAUGCAGUGGGGUCACUAUCACCGUAGUUUUUGGUUGAAGUCAUAUGUUGUUUACUUGUUGGUUUUUCAAGUUCUGACAUGAUAUUAUUUUUCUUCCCAUUUCCAGCUGAACUACUUUACGUGCUUCAAUUUUUUUCAAUCACUGCUAAAUUUUAGUGGAUAAGAAACAAAUGAAUCUAAAAAAUUUACGAUCAACCAAAUUCUGUUUGGAGGUGAAUGUUUCUUCAUAAUCUAACUUUGUAAAUGAAUUUUAAGUGAUUUGAAAACAUGGAAUAAGGUCUUCAAUAAAUAAAUAUGUAUCAGGUGCUUUUGGUUCAGUUUUAGACUUUUAGAUGGUAGGGAUCGUGCUUUUGGUUUGAUUUACAAUUAUUGUUUCUUGUACUGCUAUUGUGUAGGUCAGUGUUUUGUACUUUUUUUUUUGUUCCUUAUCUAAGUUUCUAUGGUCGGUCUUUUCGACUAUAAUGGAAUAAUACAUGUUAUGCUACUGCAAUGUAGUUAUUGCUUCUAGCAUGGCAUUUACUAGGCUGAUUUGGUCUUUUCGAACUCAUCCAAGGACUGCAGGAUUUGGAGGACUUGAUCGGAAUUAUGACAAAGCUUUUCAAUUUGGAUUUUAUGGAAGUAUAGGUUGGUCAAAUAUCCUUCAUGCAGAAAUUCAGGAUCUCCUUGUUGGUCUCAAGUUGUGGUGGAAAGCCCGGAAGUUUAUAUGCUAUUAUGAUUCUCUUCACGUGGUGCAGUUAGGUUCAAUGAACACUCAUCACUUUCACCAUUAUGCCAAUAUGUUGGAGAUUUAUCAGAGCUUACAUGAAGAAAGAUUGGAAUUUUUCUCUCCAUCAGACUUUUCCCGAGGGCAAUGCUUGAGCAGAUAUUCUAGCGAAAUUGGGAGUUAGUUGUAUAGAUACCUUGGUUACGGUCUACAUGCUGCCGCAGUUCUUCUCCUCGGCUUUGUUAGUUAAAAUUGUUGGAAUGUCCUUUAUUAGGACUUAGUAACCAAAAAGAAAAGGUUGAUGGAAAAACUUAAAUGGAUUUGUUGAAACCACCACAACCCUUUAUGUUGAUACCUUGCAUUCUCAUGUUACUAUGCCUCCAUUCCCCGAGUAAUACAGUGACUUCAAUCAAAUCCCAUAUAUAUAUUUUAAUCUUAUGGUCUCCUUUUUAAUAUGAUUGUCAAAUAAGAGGUUAAUGCAGAAAGUGAAUAUAGUUAGUUUGUGGUUCUAAUUGUGUUUUACCUCUUUAUAUCAAAUUGGUGCAAUUUUUACUUUCUAUGCUUUGGUUAGAUGUUAAUUAAUAUAUUUAUUUUGCCUCUUCAAAACAAACAAAAUCUAGAAAAGAGAAUUGUAAUGAAACAUUUUACCUCUAAGCAUUAUGUCCAAAAAGUGUUACAAACUUGAAUCAAAAAAGAAAAUAUUUUACAAUCAAACUACAAUUCAUUAUGUAUCAAUUUUACAAACCAAGUAAUGAGAUGGAGGGAGAGGAGAGUCCCUGCAACCAUAGGCGACCACAUCAGUGUCAUCAUCCACUACUGUCGGUGCUUGAGUUCCACUGUGUCUCCAUCAUAUUUGUGAGAGUUAACUUAAAAUCAGAAUUCUGGAGAAUCGUGCCACGAUGGAGAAGCUUCGUGCCACGAUUGUUGAAGCAAAAUUCUGGAGCAAUCACUGGAAAAAUCGUGCCACGAUUGAAUCGCAUCGUGGCACGAUGGUGCGAUUGAAGAUAAAAAUAAAACGUAUUUUUAUUGAAGAUUUGUUUCAGUUUUUUAAGGGAUUACUUUCACUAUAAAUAUAGACCUUGUAUCACAGUAUUUCUUGGAGAGAGAUAGAGGGGGCUGAAACAAGGGUUUAGAAUGGCAACAACAAAACUAGAGUUUGUAUAGAGUUUGUCUCUUUGGAAACACUAGGGUUUGAGGGUUGAUUCACCUUGGGAAACACUAUUAGGAUUGAGUCUCUUGGUUACGGGAAGAGGCUGGGACUUUGGGUAGAAUUAGGCGGGAGACUUAUUCUUGUAACCCAUUGACUUCUCUUUGUAACGUUACUCGUUAUAUAGUGGAUCGGAGGGCUGCUCUCUCCCCAGACUAGGUCAAUUUGGACCGAACUGGGUCAACAAAUUAUUUUGUGUUCUCUAUUCUUUUGUUCUUCUUGCUGUUGUUUUCUACUUUUGGCAUGUGAUUAUAACUGUUCCAUACGCUUUGAUUUUGGUUGCUUGACUAUCCCUUGCUCCACACAUCAAGUUGUUAUUGGUGUGAUUUUUCUCAUCGAAUUCACAACAAUAUUGUGUCGUUCAGUCAUCGCCGAUGUAAGAGAAACCAGGUGGUCGUUUUGUCGCCGGUAGUCCGCUGCUGCUAUUUUUCCCUCUCCUGAUUUCUCCCUUCCCCUCUCAUGUCUCACAUAUAAUCUUCCUCCAUCUCUUUUUCUGUCUGAUUGUUCGCAUAACAAUGCAACAAAACAUGAGAGUUGGCAAGAGUAUAAUCCAUGCAGCCAGAAUGAGAACAAUGCUGCUAUAACAUGUUAAAGUUACCAAACAUGUCAUAAGAAUUGGAACCAAUAAAUGUCAUGCUUAAUAUCAUUGAUAGCAGUGUGUUUUACAUCAACAAAAAAAAAAAAAAUGAACUCUCACAUAGAAGGCUGUGUGAUAUUGUGAAGUCCACUUGUAUGUAACUUGUCAUUGCUCAAUGAACAGAGCUUUGAGCGAUAAUUGUGUAGUACACAUUGUCACAAGCAUUACUUGGAACAAUUAGGAUCAUAUAUGUUGGAUCUAUAAUACAGAAAAAAGAAGGCAACUUUCUGAGAGUGUGUGUGCACGUGCGCACUUGUCGUGGAAGAUCAAAUUGAUAAUUAUAAGCGGCAGAAAUAUCUUCAUAAACAUUUAUCAGAUAAGAGAAAAUUGGGAAGGAACAAACACAUCAUAUUCGGUAAUGGCUACUUUUGAGCACUUGUACGAAAUUCAAAAUAACUAUCCGACAUUCAUAAGUGAUGUUACAUUGAACUUAAGCUACUUAUGAAAUGGCAUUCUCAAGACCUAAGGGAUGGCAAUGCAUCUUUGAACUUUUUCAGAAGGAGAAAACAAUUGGAAACAUUUUAAAAUCAAGCAAAACAGAAAACCAACAUUCUGUCACAAUCCUAGACAAUUUUAUCAUAAAAGACAAGUAGUGCUAGUGAUGCAGGCGAUAGUAUUUCAUCCGGUAAUCAUAGGAUAAAUGAGCAUUUCUGUAACACUCAGACGGAACAAAGAAAUCAAGAAGAUGAUGCAGUCGAAGAUCAUACUGAAGAGCACAAAGCAUAUACAACAAAUAGAACAAAAAAACACAGUCAAUAAAGAUUUGGUAUCAGCUGAUUAACUGUAUCGCUAUGAAAAACAAAUUGUAUGAACACUGUAAGGACUUAGUUAAGAAUCCAAAUUCAUUCAAAAGAAAUUGAAGCUUCUAUAGGUUCAUCCUCAACUUUGCCAACUUAAAAUGAAAUUUAUGUGAGAGAUAUAUGAAUACAAAAGAUAUUCGAAGAGAAUGUUCUUAAAUCACCAUAACUUAUAACUUGAUAAAUAAAAAAGAGAGAUGUGACAUAUUGUUAUUUUGUGUUUUGCUAACCAUGUUUGUUUGUGAUUUUAUUUUAGUGUUUUAUUAUGCAGGGUGUCAUGCAGGAAGCGCGGUGGCAUCCAAUUCACAUCUAACUUAGUGCUGAUCAACAACGUUGCAGUGCAGUGGAUAUUGUAAAGACUUAUGUGAAGGGAUCAACAACCGGGUGGAAGCCAAUGAGCAGAAACUGUCUUGGCCGGUGAGUCAAUGUCAGUCUUUCAAAGUUACUAAUAGUGAAUGUCACAAAUCUAUGUUGGUUAAACAACUUCAGAACGAAAAAAUGUUGAGAAUUGUUGCAAUACCAAGAACACUAUCUGGAACACUAAAUCAGACAAAACCAUGUUCAUAAUUUACAGUUUACCCUCUUACAUAAGUUACUAAAACACUAUCUGGUGUUUCUACCAAAACUAAUUUACAGAUUAUAAAGUUUUCCAUAUAUAAAUUAUUUCUACUUAAAGCUAGAGGUCAUUCGGUAAAGGCAAAAGGUCAUUCAUUUUAUUGAUAUAGAAACCAGAUAUGUUUGCGAAUAAAACGAGUAAGAUUCAAACUAAAAAUGCAAAAGCAAGAUCAAGUAGUUUCUUAGUAUACUUGACAAUCAUAUACUUCUUUGUGAAAAGUAAGAAAAAUUUGCCUUACUUCAAUAUUUGUACGGUAGUUUAUUUUAUCUCUUAUCUCAAUAUUUGUGUGUAAGCUGCAUUUUCCAAAGGCUUUCUUAGUUAUGUUAUUUGAUGAAAAAAAUUAUAGGGACUAAAACUUGAAAUUUAAAAUUUUUAUAGGAAUAAAAAAAAUACAUUUAACAUUUUUUUUAAACAUAAGUUCUGGUAAUAUUUGCACAUUGACUACUUGAGUUCUCAAGAUGCCGCUGGUUGAAUAGAAGACUGCAGCUGGUUGCUGCAACUGGGUGUAACACUCCUAUUUCUAUUUAAGCAAUUAAACAUGCGAAUAAUACAUUUAUUUAAGAAAUAGAGAUUACGUCUUAUUCAAAAUUCAAAAACCGAUAGACAUAUAUAUGAACUUCAACAGUCGUAGCGGAAUAUAAAUCAGAGUGAUCAAAUAUAUACAUGCCAUGAGCAAAUAAAUCAUGUUUCAAGGAUAAAUCUCAAAACCCAAACAUACGGUAGUCAUCAACAAAAUCAUAAUCCAACAGAAAAUAUAAACAACCUAAUCUAGACCGACACGACAAGCCUAGAUCAGAGCCGACACGACCCGAUAUCGGAGAAAGCUCCCGAUAUCCCACGCAAAGACUCACCGAGCACUACUCCUGCACAACGUCUACUCACCCAUACAGGCAAGUAGGCUGUUAAAACCACUGAGGGUAAGCAUUACAUUAUCAUAAUCCAGAUAAAUAUCAAUCAAAUAAUAUCAUGUACUUGAAUAAUAUUAGUCAUGCAUAAAUACUUACAUCACAACUCGAUAUCUAAUAUCAACAUACAUCAAUCACAUAAAUAAUUACCCAACCAUAAAUAUUCAUUCACAACACCAAUCAUUAUCAACAUACAUCAAUCACAUGAAUAAUUACCCAACCAUAAAUAUUCAUUCACAACACCAAUCAUUGAACAAUCAUUAUCAACAUUCAUUCAUUUCGUUUCAUCACCAAUCACAUAUUUCACAUAGGACUCAUGUUAUGAUAUGCACUUAUGGACGCAUAAAUGCAUGUGGUACCAAAUCUCAACAAGGUCGUCACCUUUCGAUGCCACUUGCACAUCGAAUGUAAGGGCUCACACCUGCCUUACAAUAAUCUCGAAGUAAAAGAGUCAUCCCUUUUACAGCAACAACGACUAUGAUGCAUGGACAUGUGUAAUGACUCGAUAAUGCAACAACAAUUCUCAAUCUCAACUCAAUAUAUAGGACAACACCCAAUUAUAUUGAUUAUCUCCACAACAUUGCAUUACCAAGAAAGCAUGCCCACACACAAUUAAAUCAUAGUAUUCAUCAUCACACAUCAACAUAUUUAUCAAUAAUCAACAAUGUCAUCCAACAUCAAUUACAUGAUUUUCAAUAAUCAACAAACAUCACUUAUCACGUAUGAUUUUACAAUUCAAGAAUUCUCAUAUUCCAAGUAAGAUAGCAUACACUUCUCAUGAUAAUUAUCAUAUCCAAAAUACAAUCAUUCAUUCAUACAACUUCACUUAGUCAUACAAGAAUGGUCACAACAAUUCAUAAGACAAUACAACUUCAAGAUUCACUAGACCCCCUUUUCACAAGGUUAAUUCUUCCAUAAAAACAGCCCUAGAUGAUUAGGAUAAAGUCCCUAUACAUAGAAAUAAGUUUGGAAACAAUUGGAUCAAAGAAAAUUGCAUUUUUAAAGUUUCUGGUCAGGCAAAAUCGUAGUCCAAUUUUUCUCCAUCGUAGUACGAUUUUUUUCGAACUGAAACACCCAAAAAUCUGGUCAAAAUCGUAGCCCGAUGAAUAAAAUCGUAGUCCGAUUUCUGCCUGACAGACAAUAUCAGAUUUUCCAAUUUUCACGUUUUCGCAUGUAAAAACCAAACUGUUAAUCCGUUUUCGGUGCUGUUUUCCUCUACUUGUUCAUGACACUUAGCCCUAUCUUAAUAUGCAGAAAAUUUCAAGUUUCAACAUUCCCAAAUUCAUUUUCCAAAACCCUACACAACACUCAUUUUCCAAAACGGUUAACAAUUGAAUUUUCACCCGAAACUCCCGUUUUCUUCCAAAACGACUCGACUAUCAUAACUACAACCUAAAAACAGAAAUUCCAUCAAGUUUAACUCAUCCAACCACAUAGACAACUCAGUUAACAACUUUGUAUAUCAAAUUUCACUUUGUUCCUUCACUUGAACAUCUAGCACAACUUCACCAAUACAAACAACUUAUUUCAUAAAAUGGAAUACUCAUGAUAUCAUUCAAUAACAACAACAUAUCUACUUCAACAACACUUCAUUUAGACAUGAAUUCAACCAUAAUUCAACAACACAAUAUCUCAAUCCAACAAUUGAGCAAAACACAUAAGUAUUCAUUUUCACCCAACCAACAACAACAACUUAUUUCACAACAACAAUUAUGAAUCAUGCAUACCCAAACCAUGAAUUAGCAUCCAUAACAUCACUUAACAACAACAACAUCUAUUGAUCAUGAAACUUAUCACAAUUCAUCAACAACCAUGCAUAAUUCACCAAUUGAGCAUAAUUUACAAACUACCCAUUUUCAUACAUUAUGAACUUGCAAUUUCAUCAUCAACAAUUCAUUUAACAUCAAAUUAACAUAUUCAAACAUAUCUCUACAACAUAAGCACGAAUUUCAAAGAUUGGGUUCAUGAUAAUCACUUAUUCUCAUAAUCAAUUAUGCAUAGAAUCAAGAGAAAAAGAAUUAAUCAAAUGAUUAUGAUAAAGACUAACCCCCUUACCUUAGGUAAUGCUCAAUCUAAACUUAGGCUUCACUUUAGCUCCUAACCUCACUCCAAUCUUGAUUCUUCAAGCUCUCCCUCUUCUUCUCUUCUCCCACUUUCUCUCUCUACCUCUCUUUAGGAAAUAUCUUGUGAAAUGAAUGAAAUGAUAUUCUCCUAAGAUAACUCAUUAGGUUUAACUCUUAAUGGGCCUAACCUAGUUUCUAGUGGGCUUAACCCAUUUCUAUUCAAACCAAAAAUAUUUCUACACUUCAAACGAUAUUAACUCAUAACGGUAAAAACUAAUCACUACACUGAUAACUUAGUAAAAUAAGGGUUCUCACUAACUAUUAAAAUAAUUCUCACCAAAUUACCAUGUUACCCUUACCCGCCAAAUGACCAAAAUACCCUUCUAAUACGGUAAUCCAUGUAAUAAUUAAAAUAAAUCUAGCUAAAAAUCGGGCUGUUACAUUGGGGCCAUGGAUGUUCUUAUACCAGACCUUCAUUUGAUAUAUUCAAGGUCACAUUUCUCUUUGCAUCCACACUACCGUUUCUAUUUGAAAACUUGGAUAAUGAUAUAUGUCCCGGAAAAAUUACUCGCGAAAGCAUCACGACUCCCAACAGCUGAAGUUCAUUUGCGAUGGUGUCAGAAAUGUUUGCUUCAUGAUGAAUAGCACUGCCCUUUGAACUUUUAGGCAGCAUCUGACUUUGGUAAUGGUAUUAUUUUUCCAUAAAUCUCAAAGAAGCUAGAAAAGAGGCUUUAAAAUAGUCCCACGUCGACCCAACAAGUAGCAAGCUAUUGUUAAUGAAUGAUAUGGGUGUUAUAAAGAACACCUCAUUGCUCAAGUUAAAUGAUACCAGACAUGGUCUACCAGGGCUAUGAUUUUUACACAACCAAUGAUACACUCCAUCCAUAUAGACAUGGGUGUUACGAAGAAUGCGACAUUAAAUGUUGAAGAUGCAACAUGUGCCGUGCUGUGCUCACGGUGACAUUUGGUCAUACACGCUUUUCAAUUUCUAAAAGUUAUUCAAUGUCAAACAAAUUUACACAUGCAUAUAUAAGCUUAGUUCCUCGUAAACCUCUUCCGUAGAACUUUGAAAGUUAGAUUAAUCUAACAUAUAAGAAGAUCACAUCUUGAUCAUUAGGUCAAUCAAACAGACAAAAUUUGGUAAUACAUUAUUCAAGUAGACCACUGAACAAGUCAUUGAUAAUACAUUCAAACUAAAAACUGCAUAAUUAAGCAUAAUUAAAUUAAGGCCAAGUUUUCUAUUAUCAUGUCUUAUGAACAUGAGUGCUGGAAAAAAUCACAGCUCUAUAAUAAAUACUGCUUAUAAUGCAUGAGAAAUGAUAACAAUUAGCAUGCAAUCGCAGAGAAGAUGCGACGACUUAUUUCAUCAACGGAAAUUUCUUCUGAAGAAUGGCCAUCUGCUACUUGUCCAAUAAGUUUUUAUCUUUUUCAAGUCUUCAUUCUCACUCUUAUAUCAGGUAUCAUUACAGAAUUCCAUUCCAUCUCUCUGUCAUUCUGUUCAUAAAAAUUCAAGCAAACAUAUGAGAGUUAGCAAUAGUACCAUUCAUGCAGUCAGAAUGUGAUCAACAAUACUAGUAUAACAUGUUUAAGCAAGUGCAUUUCCAGAUAGCGCUCGGCCAUAACAAAAAAUAUCAUGAAUUUCAAUCUUCUAAAGUGAGAAAAUCAAGGGUUGUAAUUUUAAUACACCCGUGAUUUGUUAUGAUGUAUCUACAACAGUGGCGGAGCCAUGUGUGUACUGGGUAUGGCCAUGACCUACCCACUUAUUAUUGAAAAUACCAUAAUACCCCUGGUUAAUUUUAAUAUCACUGCCAUAUGCUAACAUCUAGCUAAGAUCCUACUUUGUGAAAUCGCAGGUACUAUUUUUACAAUUCAUAUCUUAACAUAAUUAAGGAAAAUGUCAGUGUCCAGUUAUUUAUUUAUUUUUUGGUUCUGCGUCUGUUGAAUUGGGUUUCACAGAUAACACUACUGCUGCUGUAGCUAGUGCUGCAGUUAGUGUUACUUCUGGUGUUCUGCUAGAUAUGAACAAUUAGUGUAGAGCCCAAUUGAUGUUAUGAGUCAAAGACUAAUGUCAAGGCAGUUGUAAUGGUAGUGGUGGAAAGAGUAUUUUGGAUUUUUGGUUAAUCUUUAUUUUCUGAGAAUUAUAGAAAUGGUUUUGAUGUGUUAUAGAAAAUUCUUUAUGCUUAUGGGCAAGAGAAUUCUCUAUUUCAAUAUUGACUUAUGAAGCAUAUAAUGUUGUUUGUUUGACUUCUUACUCUAUGGUUCAUAGGUUCAUAUGGGGUAGUUUUGGUUCAUGUUUGACUUCUUACAUCAUUUUGAUAAUUUUAUUUCUUUGCAAUAGAAAAAUCAAGAUGGAGAAUAAAAAAUUUCAUUCAUUUUACACGAGGAAGGCCAAUGAUAUUGAAAGAUAAGAAGACCUUAUAAUUUCUUAAUCUCAACCUGAACAAGUUUGUGAGAAUCCAAGAAUUGAAGAAAAUGAGCCUUGUCAGUUUAUAUUGAAAGGGAAAGUUAGUGUAUCUAUUAGUUCCGAGUCAGUUAUUGAUGAUUUCAAGUCACUCGGAAAACGUAAAGUGUCACUUUAAAUAUUUAAUUACUGAUUUUAUGUAUUAUGUAGUUUAAAUUUUGAAUUAUCGAUUUUUGAUUUAUUACAACAUAAAUAUGUUGUAUGUAAAUAUGAUUUAUAUAUUUUAGUUUAUUUUGAUGGUGGCCAUCCCUAAUAUUUUUGUCCGGCUCCGCCAAUGAUCUACAAUGUAUCUCUUUAAUAUGUUAAUUACUGAAAGUAAAUGUACCUUAUAAAAUAGAAGAAUAAAAACCAAUGAGUAAUACAACUACUGCAAUGAAAUGUAUCUCAGAGUAUAUGGUAUGUUAACUCCCUACAUAUCUAAGUAUAUGCAAUGAUACACACAGUAUAUUUCACCACCUAUAGUAUAUUUCGACAUUAAGCAUAGAUAAAAUUUAACAAAAAAAAAAAACAUUAAGUAUAGAUACACUAUAUUCCAGUACCACCCCUUCAAUGUUACACUAUCAUAGAUCCUCUGUUACUCAAUUGUAACUAAUAUACAAUUAAGUUCAAUUAUACAUUUCUUCUGUUACUUAGCAGAAACCCUUGCCUCUCCAUUCACCCCUUUAUUGAGUUUUAAUUCAAGUGAUAGACUUAGGAAUGAUUGGUUAGUUACUAAGUUUAAACAAACUCAGGAAGUUCCAGUGCAAGUAACUACACUAGAGUUAAUUAGUUCAGAAAGCAUAUGGCUUUAUUAUGAACCAAAGACAUCAACACGGACACUUAACAUGACACAGACAUGUUGGCACCACUAGUAUAAAGACAUUCUAGCUUCUAGGUAAACGGGUGACUCUGGAGUUAUGCAACACUUCACACUCGAGCUUGUUCUUAUCAUGUUCAUCAAUGUCAGCUUCCUAAAUACCAUAAAAAGCAAAUCCAUUGUUACCUAUGAACCACAGACAUCAACACAGACACCUACACAAACAUGUUGACACCACUAGGUUAAAGAUAUAGGACACUGACACCACUAGUUUAAAGAUAUAGGAGACUGACACCGCUAUAUGCAUUUAUUUAUUUAUUUAUAAAAUAUCAUAAUUGAGAACUAAAAUAUAUACAACAAGAAAGCUGAAAAUGUUAUAUCAAACUUAAUGUCUUUUCUUGUGUUUUAACUUGAGCUCUGAUUAGAUGAAUUUUGCAUGGCACUUCUGGUAGUUAUUGAACAUGCUGUUCUCUUGUAUGAUAGCGAAACGUAAAGAAUUUUGCUGAUUAAACCUGCUUUUGAGUAAUCCAGUUACUCUGUAUAUUCUUUAGUACAGUGAAUAUUUUUUCAUGGGAUUAUUAUGUUACUUGUAGGCGGGGUAAUACUGAUAGUUAAUACGUAUUUUCAUCAUAAUUAGAUUUAGAUUGCUACUUUCUAGACCAACUAACCUGACAGCGAAACUGUUAACUAGUUAAAUAAAGAAAGCUAAGAUCUCACAUCGUUGAAUUUAACGUGUUACAACUUACAAUAGUUCUUGGAACAGGAAUUUUAGAAUUUUUUAAACUUGGCCAUUCUAAGACGAUGGUGAUGACAAUGAUAAUCACAAACAUGCCUUAUCAGCGAUAUAUAUUUAAAAUCGUGGCCCGGAACUAUCCAUAAUUUGGAGAAUAAUUCUAAGAAAUAAAGACAAAGCUUUGAGUUUCCGGUGUAUUAGCAUAUUUUAGCAUAAAACUACUUAGACGGUGUACACAAUUUUAUUAGCAUAUUUAAAGAUAACCUAAAUAAUUUGGUCCUCUAUCUCUACUUGAAGAAUCAGCAACAAAUUUGUUAACCAAAAAAUAUUAUGCAUUAAUAUAAGCAAUGUUCAGAAUCAAAUCUAAUGUUUCAGCUUAUAUCUAGUAAAUACAGCCUCACCACCAUUUUCUCCACCGAUAUCUUUGUCUACCGCAUGUAGUCAUAUGCAAUAGACAAUCCUUUCCAUUAAUUGGUAACCUUUCCAUUAAUUUGUAAUCGGAUAGUCUGAAUCACACAUUCAAAAAAUCACCUUUAAAUAAUCUCAAAUAUCGAUAAAGAUUUGACUGUCAAUAACAGUUUUACCGUGACACACAAACCUUAUGUUUUAUUAUCAUUAUUAUAUUAUAAAAUAUAAUAGCAAGUGAUGUGAUGUGAUGAUUACACAAGUUUAGCGACUUGGGUUCAUUUAAUUUGGACCAGUUAUACUUUAGGUUGAACUUGGACCACUCAAAUGACCUACAAAUGUAGGUUUGAAACCGGUCAAAAGUUAUGAAGCACACAACAAGUGAAUCGUACCAACCUCGAAGCUAUUAUUAUUGAGAAAUGAUAUUUGUACAACCAUUUUGUGGCAAUUUUUGUACAACUUUAUCUCUCAUACUCACAUUAUAAUUUUAUUCUCUCUCUUCAUUUUUCUCUCUCCUUUAUUUUUGACCAAUAGAAAGAGAGAAAAAUGAAGUUGUCAUGGUAGUUGUCAAAAAUGGUUGUUCAAAUAACACAACUCAUUUUUUUUUUUUUGGUACAUCACUACUCAUUAUUAUUAUUAAAUUUAAAAAUAAAUAGAACGGUCUCAUAACUAUUAAAAUUUAUAAAUCAAAGAGUUAAAAUUAAAAAUUUAAAUCUUUAAAAAAAAAAAAUUAAUAAAGUCUAUGGUACAUCAUCCACAGUAUUGAUCCAGUUUAAACGUUUAGUGUUAAAAAUUUAAAGGAGAUGACCAAUGACCGGGUAUAUAUAAGGGAGUAAUUUACAAAUUUUAAUAACUAUGAGAUUAUUUCAAAACAAAAAUUAAGCAGCAACAAGUAUUUCAAUUCUUCUGAUGUGAAUCAUAUUAUCUCAGUUCUUCUCCUCUUCUCACUGACGACUCACUCGCCUCACCCUAACGUCUGUAUUAUCUCGUCUCUCUCACCUCUUGUUGUUAGAUAAGCUAAGGUAAGCCAAUCGAUUCUCCAAUUUCUCAUUUCUUCUCUAUUUGAAUUGGAUUCAAGUUUUUUGUUUUAAUGUGCUCCAAGUGUUCGACAAAAUGCCUGAAUGAUUAAAUUUCUGUUACUUUAAUGGUGAGAAAAGACUUUGUAUGUACGUUUGUUUGUAUUUAAUUAUUUAUGGUUCUAAGUUUGUUUCAUUUUGGAGCAUAAUUUGAAUGAAAAGAGAUGAUAUGAAUCAUUACCAAUUACUUUGUUUUUAAUUGUAAAUGUUUCUAUUUGUAUAAAUUUUGUGCAUAUCACUUGCUUGAUAAUUUGCAUGAAAAAGGAUGCGAUGAAUCAUUAACAAUUACUUUGGUUUUAACUGUUAAUGGUUCUAUUUCUGAGUUUUGUUUACGUGCUAGGGUUGUAUACGUGUUUGAUGUGAUUUAAUUAGGUAGAAGAUGGAAGUUUUGUAUGGAACUUGAAAUUUUCUUGAGGAAGUUUUAUAUGCAAAUCUUGAUAUUGUAAGUGAUGUGAUGUAAGUUUAUGAUAAGUGAUGAUAAUGUUGUAUUAUCUGACUAGUAGCUGAUAGGAGUCUAGUGAGAGAACUUCUGUUAAUGGGGAUUAAUCCUAGAGCUAAGUAAUUGUAAAUAUAACAUUGAGGAGGUAAAAAUUUCUGCAUGUUUUUGUUGCUAAAAAGAAUGCUACUGUUGUAAAUACCUUAGGCCAAAACUCUGUCUUCCAACUUCGUCUUCUUCUUUCCGCAACGAAACGUUACGAUGAACAUGCUGGAUUGUUCUCGAAUCUAAAAGGUGCGAAAAAAUUAUCCUCCCUAAUCCUCAUGUUAUUUAAAUUAUCCUUACCCAAACAACAAGUUUUGUCUAUAAUGUUAGAAUUAAUUUGAUUUUAAUGAGUUUUAAUGGGUGGAACGGUGGAUUUUGUGUCUAUAUUUUAAAGCUGAAAAAGUUAAUUUAAGCAUAAAGUAAUAGAGAGUAUUGAUUUUUGUAUUUAGUCCUUUACUUGUGUGAUAAUAUGUGCAGGAACCAAGCCAUGGCCUCCAAGCUGCUUUUGCAGAGAAGGCUCUUCAGGUUCUUGCGACAGUCACAACAAUCCUCAUACUCCUUUUCUUCUUCAUCUUCCAUUCAACGAUCCUCGUUCCAUUCUGCGAAACAAACAGAAAUAUCGGGUUUCUCAACUUUCUCUAGAAGCUUCUGCUCUCGAAAGUCCAGUCUUGUUGAUGAAUCUAAUGCCCCCGCACCUAUUGAUUACACGUAUGACACAUCCUUUUGUGUUUUUCGUCCCUUUGUCUCAUUUGAUCCGUGAAAACUCUGUAAAUUUGAUUUUUUAGAUACUUUUUUUUUAAAAGCAAAAAAAUAAAAAAAAAUUGUCCCUCUGAAUUUGAGUUUUUUUUUUUUUUUUUUUUUUUUUGAAUAAGGAAAGUGUUAAAAUAAUAUUAUUGAAAAUCCAAAUGUCAGUGGCAAUUGCUAAUGCCUCGCGGGCCAUUAAUGCGUAGUGUUGAUUGAAAUAGAUGUUGUGUUUUGUUUAUUCCUUUCAAAUGGCUGGUAUGCUUUUGCUAUUUGCUAAUGAUUAAUAUGGAUGCAGUUCUCUACUGCAGGAGGGUGAAUUCCAUAGACUGGCCGAGUCCACAAUACAUAGCCUUCAAGAGAAAUUUGAGGUAUCUAUUCUCUAGCACUCCUGGAAACAGCCUCUUGUGUAAAACAGGGUAAGGCUGCGUACAAUACACCAAAUGAAGGGACCCCUUCCCGGACCCUGCAUAUGCGGGAGCUCUAGUGCACCGGGUUGCCCUUUUUAUUCUCUAGCACUGUUUUGAGUUUUACACGAACUUAAAUUUAUUAUAUGAUACGACAAUCUCGGUAUCCACUUCAAAUUAUGUAUUUGAUCUAACAAUUGCCAACAUUAUUUGAUAAAUAUAGAAUUUUGAUACAAUUAUGCUUAAAUUCAAAUGUGUUUCGAUAAAAUUAGUAUUGGUUGUGAUGGAAACUUGACAGUGACAAUGUUACACUUCAUAUUAUUUAAGAGUUUAAACUACAUUGGUUAUUAUUUUGGUUUAUUGUUACUUGGCAGGACUAUGGAGACUUUAUCGACCUUGAUGGAUUUGACAUAGACUAUGCGGUGAGAAACUUAUUUGGAGAGUAUGUUAUAGUUUUAUAGAAGAUAGGUAGCAAGCAGCUAAAAUUAUUUCUUAUAUAAUAUCCUACAACUUAUGUAUUUUAGAAGACAACACGGAAGCUAUCUUGUUGUAUGUGAUUAUUUCAAAAAUAAUCACAUCGAUAACUUGAUAACCUUUUUUAUCGAUGAAACUCAGUUAAGUAGUUUGAUCUUUUGAAAAUUAAAUGCUUUCUUUUCCCUGUUAAGACUUUAAAUAAUUUAUUCCUAUUAGUUUUAAGAAGCAUCAUCCCUGUGUCUGUGUGGGAGAUAUACUAAUUGUUAACAUGGCUUUCCUUUUCAGAAUGAUGUUUUGACUGUCAAACUUGGGGAGUUGGGCACCUAUGUAUUGAACAAACAAACACCAAACAGACAACUUUGGCUUUCUUCACCAGUGAGGUAUUUUAUUGUAUAUAUGGUUUUUUUUUUUGGUUUUUUUUUUUAAGAUGUAUAUUUUUUAUAUCAGGUUUUACUCUCUACUAGCCAUCAGUAUUCAUGUAGUAAGUAUAUGGCAUGUGAGUACUUCAUAGAAAACUACAAUAUCCAUGCUUACUUAAUAUUUCCUAGGAUAUCAUUACUAAAUAUGAACUGGAGAUAACAAAUCCAAUUAGUAUUGUAAACAAUCUUCUUUAAUCAAACAGGCUAUUUAUAUGUUAAUAGUUGUGUAUUUAUUAAGGCAACCCUAUUGGGAAAAACCCAAGUCCCACAUCGGAUAGAUAAGACUCAUGAUAAUAGUUUAUAAAGAGGAGACACUCCUCACCUUAUGAACCGCUUUUGUAAGGAUGAGUUAGGCCCCAAAUUUCAACAUGGUAUCAGAGCUUGUCGAGUUCAAAGGGCACCUACCUAUCCACGCACCAAGUCUAAAAAGAGUGAUGGGCGUGAGGGGGUGUAUUGGGAAAAACCCAAGUCCCACAUCGUCUUGAUAAGACUCAUGAUAAUAGUUUAUAAAGAGGAGACACUCCUCACCUUAUGAACCGCUUUUGUAAGAAUGAGUUAGGCCCCAAAUUUCAACAUGGUAUCAGAACUUGUCGAAUUCAAAGGGCACCUACCUAUCCACGCACCAAGUCUAAAAAGAGUGAUGGGUGUGAGGGGGUGUAUUGGGAAAAACCCAAGUCCUACAUCGGAUUGAUAAGACUCAUGAUAAUAGUUUAUAAAGAGGAGACACUCCUCACCUUAUGAACCGGUUUUGUAAGAAUGAGUUAGGCCCCAAAUUUCAACAAACCCUGUGUAAUUGAAGUUUUACAUAUGUUGGUGUUUCUUGUCCUUCGCAUGUUGGUCUUUCUUAUCUUAUUGGUGGAGAAGAAAGAAGCAAGGAUUUGAAAACUUGUAGAAACUUUCCCUUUGGUUUAAUUGCUUUAUUUGAAGUGUUAUCUUAUAGUUUCUUUGUGAGGAAAUUGAGGAUAUAUACAAUAUUUUAUCAGGGUUCAUUUUUAAUGUUUUUCUUCAGGAGGAAAGUACUGUUAUGUAAAUUGAAUCUGAGCUCACGGAAGAAAUGAGUAUAGUAGUAAUUUUUAAUAUUUUCAAUUCUAUUAAAAUAUAGGUUUAGUUCUUUGCAUUGAGAGAUGUUACUAUCUUGUUAUGUAGCAAGAGCAUAUGCAGACCUUGUUAUAUAGCAAGAACAUAUGCAGACCGAUCUUGUCUGUUUGUACCAUAAGAAAUGGUAUCUUACUCUUGUUGUAUCUCCGUUCAAUGCUAUUUUGAUUAUCAAUAAAGAAGUAGGACGCAUUCAGCCUUAACUCUUUAAGUGACAUUAAUUAUGAUCGAUUGUAGCCACCGGAAUUUUCUUAUCAUUUUGGAGGAUUCUAAGACUCUCAUGUCGGAGAGUCUCACCUAAUAAGUGAAACUUAUAAGGAGUUUUCCCAUCUAAUAGUCUAGUCUUUUAGAUGAGCUCUCCCUUUGCGAAAACUUGAACUCGAUAUGAGCAAUGUGUUUUUGUGAUCCUUCUGUGGGGGUCAAGUUUUAAAACCCAUAUUAGAAAAAGCACACAGAUUGUGCAAAAACUAAACCUUGUCACUUAAGUUUGUCCCUGUAAUCCUAACUCCUAAGCCUCUUGCAACUGCUGUUCAACAGCCCUAAUUUUUGUUUGUGGGUUCUUUAUUUGAUAUGAUCCCUCCGUUUUCCGUUAUCCAUAUGCAAGGGCUUCCUUUCCAGUUCUACAGAGAGGUUGCUACGUGUUCUUCUCCCCUGCUAUACAGCCACUCAUCUUCCUUUUUCCAUGCGCUGCUGCGACUGCUCUUCAUUUCUGACACGGUCCAUUUUUCCUCUGUUUGUGUUGUGUGUUUGUGCUUUGUUCUGUUUCUUCCGUGUUCGGUGUUUUUGUAUUUGCUAUCUGGAGCUAUUACUUGUAUAUGCAUGAGUUUGUGAAAUUUGUGGGAUAAUACAGGAUCUUAAGUUUGUCUACCUUAUUCCUACUAAUGGGUUAGCCUGUUGUGGUGGCUCUCCUUUUGACCUUAUUCACAUAAUAAAGGCCUUUGUAUGGUUUUGAGGCUUUAAGUGCAGUUCGAUUUAUUUUAAGUAGAAUACAGUUUGAUCCUCUUGACGUGCAUUUUUUUUAGGAAAAUAGUUUUCUAUUUUAUCAUGCUUGUCUUUUUAAUCUGCUUUGCCUAAACUAGACGGCCAUUGACAUAAAACAUAGGACAGAAUAGGUAUAAUAAUAAAAAUGAGACUUGCAUAUUGACAGUAUCUAUUUCUCUACGAGUUCUACAUUCUCUUCCACCUGUCUAAAAGUCUCCCAUUUCUAUUGCAGUGGUCCGUCUAGGUUUGAUUGGGAUCAGGUUACUAAAGCUUGGAUAUAUAGGCGGAACAAAGCAAAUUUAUACAAAAUCUUAGAAGAUGAGUUGGAGCAGUUGUGUGGCAAACCUAUUGUUCUUUCCUAAGCUGUUGAGAAUGUGGUACUUAAUCUUGAUUUAAAAUUUAAAAAUGGGAAAUCAUUGGACAUUGUUGAUGAUCCUUUGGCAUUCAGGUGUACUCAGUAAGCAGAUUUUGUUCCUUUGCCACCUUUUACUCUGUAAACUAUACCAGUUCUUUCACAAUCAUGACGUGAUUGUAUCUUCUGAAUAAUCAGCUCUAUAUAGAACUCAUGUGGUUGACAUUAGUUUACUCUUCUGAAGAAUUACAAUUGUAAUGGGCAUUAUUGUUGGUUACUACUGGUGAGCUAGAGCAACUCAAAUGGUGAUCUUUAUCAAAGGUUGUUUUGCGGGUCCUCUAACCACAUCAUCUUGAAGCAACUAUUUUUUUUCAUUUGUUCCAAUGAUAAAACACUAAAGAACUGAUAUUAGAACAACAACUUUAUCACCCAAUCUUGUUUUAUUCAUAUGUAACAUUAUUUUAUAUUGAACCCUGUUUUUAUUGCAACAAACCGAAAGAAAAUAAUUUUAUUUUAGUCCCUUUUGUUUCAAAGUUUUGUUGCGUCAAUAAGCAACGGUGAUGACAGGACAGCUGUCCAAUUUUCUUUUAACUCUAAAAUGGUGAAAGGGUGCAACACAUUGGCAGACUCACCCAUUGGUAGAGAAAUUAAAUUUGAACAACGAACAAUUUUUUGAAUUGACUUCUUUUUCUAUAGCAAAAAAUAAUAAAUAGAAAAAGAGAGUAAGAAUACAAUGAAAACAUGAAAGUUGUUUAAAAAAUUGCUGGGACGAUUUAACUAUUUUAGAAUACGAAUAACACAUGAAUUCACAAGGAUGGUUUAACUAACGAGCAAUGAUAUUUGAACAACUAUUUGGUACCACCUUUAUGACAAAUUUUUUUCUCUCUUCUUAUUGGUCAAAAAUAAUGAAGAGGGAAAAGGGAAGAGAGAGAAUAAGAAGAUAAUGUGAGUAUGAGAGAUAAAGUUGUAUAAAAAUGAUUGUACGAAUAUCAUUUCUCUUAACUAUAUAAACCUAUUAUUAAACACUCUUAAAUUGUAAGUUUCAACUACUCAAAAUAAGUUUUAGAUAUAGAUAAAAUAAUUGUUUUUACACAUUCAAGGAUAAAAUUACUUUAUAGAAAAAUACCUAGUUAAAAUUAGUAUUAAAUUAAGGGUUAAUGGUGCUUUACCCCCUGUAAUAUAGGUCAUUUUUUAUUUUCCCCCUGUCAAAUAUUUUUUUUGAUUUACCCUCUUGUAAAAUAUAUUUUUUUUGGAAUACCCCCUAAUAUUUUUUUUUUUGAAUACCCCUAAUAAGUCAUUAAAAAUAUUAAUACCAAUAGUUUCCAAAACCGAAAAUUCAAUAACAAAAACAUAUUGAUGUAAAUCAUAUAUUAUUUAUAUUCUUUAGAAUAGUCUAGAUACAUUAUAAUCAAACUGAUAUUUUUUUGUUUUUGUUUUUACACAUGAGUCGAAUCUGAUAGAUAUUUGUGGAACUAAUCUAGGUUUAAGUCAAUAGGGUUGUCCUCGACAGUCUUUGUUGGGACACAAAGGACAUAGCGUCACGCAAGGGUACUUUCGUCCAUCCAAUUCAAAGAGAGUGGUUUUUUGUUGGGAGAAGAGCAAUUUUCAACAAAUAAACCUAAAGUAAUCAUCUUCUUCAUCGCAACACAAGAAGCAUGUCAAUCCUUAGUCGAUUGAAACUCGCAGGUACUCGUUGUUUCUUCUACUCUCUCUCUCUCUCUCAUUAAAUUUCUUGAAUUUGUUAUUGCUUUGUUACAAUUCUGUUCUAAGAAAAUUCUAUUGCGCUUCUUAAUUUAGCCUCACACAGAAAUAAUAUAUAUGUUUAGUCUUGGCAAGGGACCAAAUACUAACGUAUAGUUAUCAUAUAUAUUGCGUGCUUGCAGCAACAAUGAAGAGCUGUGAAAAGCUUGAGAAUGAGUUGUCUGAUCAUAUUAUAUCUUAUAUCUUUUCCAAGUUAGCUUUGAAAGAUUUGGUGAAAACCAGUGCAUUGUCCAAACAAUGGAUUCACGAAUGGGGAUUAAGGAUGGACCUUAACUUCGAUCUCUAUACCAUGUCCGACUAUAACACAGAUCAAGACUUGUCACAAAUCCUUCCUCUCUCUCUCAAAGGUUUCACUUUCAAUCUGAAUUUUCCACAAGAUUGGAUCAAUUUAUGCUGCAUUAUAAAGGUGCCAUCAUCCGUUCCAUUCGAGUAAAAUUUCCAUUAUGUAAUCAACAUAGGGAUGUCAUUCAUAGAUUGAUCUCCAAAGGAAUUGCUAAGGGUGCCAAACAUAUUGAACUUCUCUUCUCUUCUGAAACAACUGAUACUACUAUUUCUAUUAUGCCAUACAGAUUUUCCCUUAUUCUCUUACUUGAGAAUGAUUCUGUGACCUAUUUGCACCUACAAAACUGCCUCAUAGACAAACCCAGAUACUUCUCUGGAUUAAAAAAUUUGAGAACUCUUGUGUUGCAACAAGUUUUUGUGAAGAAGACACUCCUUAAGACUUUGUGUUCAAAUUGCAACCACCUUGUUGACCUCACCCUUGAUGGUUGUAAAAUCACUUCCAAGUUGGUAAUAAACAGCCCAUCAUUGCUUCGUUUGAACAUUGCUAAUGUUGGGUUUUACCCUCGAAAUCUUAUUACUAUCAUUGCCUCAAGUCUCUCAUCCUUUGAGUAUUCUUGUCUUAAAGAACAUGUAGUACACCAAAUGAACAUUCAAGCUCCUAUGUUAUCCAAGUUUAGCUUUAGAGGUGCUUUGUUUUCAAAGCGUAUACGGUUAUCUGGAUUGACGAACGUAACAAUAAUUAAGUUUGAUGCAUUACUAAUUGAUCUAUCCACAAACAUCUUGCCUCAUUUGUUUUCUAAAUGUCCUCAACUUGAAGCUGUCACUCUUAAGAACUGCUUGUUCACAAGUUCAACACAAAUUACCAGUUCGAAGUUACGUCAUUUGAUCAUACUUGAUAGUGUUUGGGUGGAUGACUCUCCUUCUGAUAUAUCUAUUGAUGCAUUAAAUCUUUCAUCCUUUGAAUAUACUGGGUACACCACAAGGAUAAUUUCUUUUACGGCUCCAAGGUUAUCGAAGGUUUUCUGGGAUACAUCAGAGAGAGAGAAUAGACCACACCUUUUUGAUCCAAUUGCAAGUUUACCACAUAUUGAGAAUUUAGCUAUGAUCAUCGGCACUUUACAAGUGAGUCGCUCAAUGAUAUUCCAACACUAUAGUACAUUCCAACAGUGUCUAGGUUUCUUUCCAUUACGUUUUUCACUAGCUGCUUUUAAUUCACUUAAGUAUCAUUGUUGUAAACAGGUAAAGGAAUUAGCGAAAGUCUUGGUUCGGUUUCAAAAUCUUUGACAAUUGGACUUACAUAUUGAUGGAGCAUGUGAUCCUAUUAUGGACUACUUUUGGCUUUUGGAUAUUGCAACGGCUUCUAGGCAUCUCCAAAAACUUACACUGAGUGUAAGUUAUUCAAACUUUUUUUUUUUUUCUUUUGUCUUGAAUGGAACUAGAAGUUUAUUUUAAAACUUAGCUGCAGUACGAUAGGUAUUGUUUUUGCUAUUUCCCAAUUGAAACUAGACACAUGUAAGAGUAGAUAAAUAAAGAUGAAUAAUUUUUGUUUUUCUUUUUAAAUAUUAACACUAACUUAAAACUCAUAUACUUUAAAAUAAACAAAUUUCUCCGAAUGUUUUUUCAUAAUAGUAAAUUAGAUUUAUUUAACCAAAAAUCCCAAAUCAAUUAUCAAACCUUUAAUUGAUAUUGAAAAUGGGUGAGAGACCGAAACUCAUACAAUUGAAUUUGAGAGACCAAAAAGUUGGAUUUUAAAAUAGGGGACCAAAACUUCAUUUUUCCUAAAACAAGUCAAUCAAAAGUGCAUUUAAGUCAAAAACCACUAUCAAACAACUCUAUUUUAGUCUUGUGUGUUUGUAUGAAAGUUAUACUCUAUCGGUUUAUAAAUACACGUCGUAGUCAAUCACUUCACAUAUGCUAAUACACAACUUUGAUAAUCAAUAUCUUUAGUUAUCUAUGAUAAAAAAAAAUUAUAACAGUUAGAUAUGUUAUAAAUAUUCAUUGAGACAAGUUGAACAAAAUCUUAUAUACUAACAUUAGUGUUUAUAUAUUAGGUAAAAAUAUAUUACACAUUAUGAAUGUGAAUAAUACAUAUUACCAACGUCAAAAAAGAAAGAAAGAAUAGUACACAUUAUCAAAUUGUUACAUGUAUCUUAUAAGCUAAUAGUUUGACCUUGUCAAACAUAAUAAACAACAUCGUAUUUCAAUUAAAAUAAUGAAUAAGUUGUGGAUUAGUUUUAUAUGCUAAUGGAAUUUUAAAAUUCUCAUAAAUGUAUCGUUAUUUUCAAUUUUCAGAUUAAAAAUCUUCAUCCGGAACAUUCACAUAUGGUUGGAUUUAAAAGGCAGAAAAGCGAAUAUGAGGGGUUUUCUCAUAAUGUUUUGAAAUAUGUGGAGUUUCUCGGCUGUGUUUGCUCCAUAAAUGUUUUUGAGUUAGCUACUCACCUAUUGAAGAGUGCAAAUUCGCUUAAGAAAAUGACUUUCCAUUCUAGUGACAGAGUCUAUCUUGGAGGUGGUAGAUGGACAACUUAUUUUAAUGCAUGUGGUGGUGAUUGUUGGUUAGGAAAGAAUGUUAUUCACGAGAUGUUUAAGGAUUGUUAUCAUGGUUUUUGGGUGCCAAGCCAUUAAUUAGACUUGUACCUUUCGACCGUUGAUAUCUCUAUUUUUUCUUGGGAAGGGCAAAAUUGAGAAAAAACCCUUAGAUUCUAAGUUCGGGGGCCGGUUUUACUACGGGAAGGUGUUAGGCACCCGGAGUAACUAUAGUCCUCUAUAGGAGCCGUUUUCCUAAGUCUAUAUUCACGCUUAUUUUUACUUACUUUUGAAAAUGGGAGGUUUAUUUAGUUAAGAAUGGGGGGGAGAGAUUGUAAGACUUUGAUUUUAUUUCGGCUUGGAUGAGUUUUGACUCAUUGCCUACGUACCGUUUUACAGGAUCAAAACCGGCGUAGUUCUUGCUAAAAAGACUUGUUUUUCUUUUGUUUUAAUUGUUUGAUUUUAAGUUUUGAAAAAAAGGUUUUGAAGAAGGAGAUUGGGAGGCUUCAUGAGCAUUAGAUUUUAGCAAAAGGUGAAGUUUGAUUAGUGAUUAGAAAAAAAGUCUAAAUGAUUAAGAUGAAUUGAAUUUUCCUUUAGAGAAAAAAAAAAAGAAAGGAAAAAAAAAAAUGAAGUGUUGACUUCAUACUUAUUAUGAAAAUUUUUGAAGUGAAGUUCAAUUGUUUUUUUUGGAAAAAAGAUGGAUUUUCUCUAAGUGUUUAAAACCUAAACGCUUAUUUAACCAUACAAUCCUAUGCAUACAUCUAAGGUGAGUGUGUGCGUGUCGGUGCAUCAUAGUGUCCAUAGUCCAUAUUACAAAAAUUGCCUAAAUACAUUCUAUGGCCCCUUUGCCAAGCUACAAACCAAUGAUAACAAAUUACAUUACCAAAUGAAUUAAAACUUGCAAAAGAUAAAGGCUAGGCUAAAGAAAGUGGAGGGAAUGCUAAAUGGGAUGCAUGAAACAUGGAAAUAAACUUGUUAGUGAAAAGAAAAAACAUAACAAGUACUAAGAAAUAAAAGCAUGCAAGAUGGCACAAAAAGUUAACAAAAUGACAUUAAACCCUAAAAACUUAGGUAUGAAACCUAAAGCAUUCUUGGCCUCUAAUUCUCAUGCUUUAACAAAUUUUGAAAGAGUUUUCUUUAUCUCAAGUUAUAGCAUAGAAUUAUUGGAAACAUGCAAACAUGGUUUCAUGCCACAUUUUCUAGAAUAAACUUGGCAUUUUAUAUCUUUCAAAAUAUGCAUAUAUUGUUCAUAAAAUCAAGCACUCAUGAACCAAAUCAAAACAGCAAAUCAACAUGAAAUUAUUGGCACAAAUCUCUCAUAUUAACACGUCAAGUAGCUUUUAUUUCAUAUUCUCACAUCAAGGACAAAUGUGUGAAGAAGAAUCCAUAACAAAUAAUUCAAAGAGAAUUAAAAUGCUAUGAAUUAAUUAUACAAAAAUUUCAUAGAUCCUUAAUGUUCAAAAAUGUCAUAAAAACACUAAGAAAAUAUCAAGAAACAUGUGAUAAUUUUUUGGAGGUUUUUUGGAGAAAAUUUUAAGCAUGCAGGGGUUCAAACAGCAAAGAAAUAUGGUGCAAAUAGCAGGAAAACAAACAAAAACGUAAAAGAACAAAGCCCAAACCAAAGGCCCAAUACACUAGAAGAUCCGGUUGCACAGGAACCAUACGAUUGAUCCAGGAUUCUGAAACCCUAGAUCAGACGGCCAGGAAUCAAAGGGGGAAUGGACCGGACUGGACCGGUCCGGUUCGCUGGCUUAUAAAAAGGAAGGAGCUCCGGUUUAUUUCAUUUUGCUGCUCUCAUUCUCUCUCUAACUCUUCUCUCUUCUCUCAUCUCUCAUCUCUCACUAACUUCGCCGCCGGCGAGGAUGAAGCUACGGCGGAGACCUUGAAGGUCCGCCGGAAACUUCAUCUUCUCCGGCGAGUUCAUGCAGUUUCCGGUGACCUAAAUUUCCAGAUUUCAAAGAUUCUUACUCCAUUUGAUUCGUCCUUUAACCCUAAACACGAAUCCAGCAGUUGUUUUUUCAAAUUCAAGUCGAAACGAUGUAGAUCUGGAAAUUUGCCGUACGGCUUUGAAUUUGAUUUUGAUUUUUUGAAAGAUAACGUUUAGAUCCUUGAAGAUCUACAUCAUUUCGUUGUUUAACACCUCUUUGAUGUUUGUUCUUGCUUUCAAAACUUAGAUCCUUAUGGAUCUAGGUUUUGUGUUUACGGUUACGGUUUUGGCUUUGAAUUCUGGAAAUUUGGAUCUGUUUUGCUUGCGUGAUUUUUAGGUUUAACAGUGAUAUUGCUUUUGAAAAAGAUUAUGAGUUUUACCUAAGGUUUUGGUUGAAACCUUUAAUGGAGAAAUUCUUUGGAAAACUUCAAUCUCUGAUGCUACGUGAUUUGGCUUUGAAUCCGGAAAUAAACCGGUGUUCCUGCUGGUUUCUUGCUUUAUCGUCUUCUUCGCCGGUUUAAACCUUCAUUAUCUUUCUUUCUUCUUCGUCUUCCUCACUGUAUCUUCGUGAUCGGUGCUGGAGUUUGCCUUUGGCGAAUUCGCACCUUGAAUUGCGAAGAUACUGAUUCAAUGAUGAUGAUUCUUCAAAGAAUCACUGAGAAUCCAUGAAAAAUAGCUUGAAUUUGUGUAGUUUCUGUUUCUGGAAAAGGUUAGGUUUACGCCAUUGAUGAAUGUUGAAGCUUUUUCUGUUUUGAUUUGUAACUGACAAGAGAGAGUGUGACUCUGUGUUUAUGAGUUGGCACCUGAUGAAUGGCUUUGAGUGGCACUGUGCACCUUUUAUAGCAUGACAUGUGUGCCUCUGAACAAAUGAGAAAGUGACACCUGGACCUGGAAAAAAAAAUGACACGGCCUUGGACAAAAAAUCAAAUUUGGACCUUCUUGCAAAAAACAAAACUUAAGGACUAAACUGCAAUUGACCAAAAAAGGACUAAAAUGAAAAUUGGAAGAGAAACUGGACUGAAAUGUAAUUUUGGGACCUCAAUUGAGGGACCAAAAUGUAAUAAAAAAUAAAAUUGAAUAAAACGUAAUUUGACCAAACGUAAAGCGAAACAAAAAUAAAAUUGACAAAACGGACUAAAACGAACCAAUGGCCUAAAUGAGGUACUUCAAAGUAACCUCCCCAUGCCAAAAUUUUAUGCGAAAUGACCAAAAUGCCCCUAGGGCUAAAAAUGACCUAAACAGAGCCAAAAUGACUCGACACUGACUCAGAUGCAAGUUUGAAAUGAAAUUAGCAAGGUUUACUGAUGGAAAGUUAAAAAUGAAUUUGAAAAGACCCAGAGACAGUCACAAGGAUGAAAAUGGGUCCCACUGCAGGAAAUGACCAAAAUACCCUUCUGUAUGACUUUUUUUGCAAAUUUUGAAAUAAACUGUAGAAAAAGCAAUGUAAUGAUUCAGAGACACUUUUGAAUGACUUACAAGACAAGUAAAGACAUUUCGAAAGGUUUUAUGCAAGAAAAACAUAGGUAAAAUUGUGAUUGAAAAUACUGCGAGGCAGAGACAAUUUGAACUGUGCAGUUGAAAUUUGAUAAUUGACAAAGUUUGAAAAUGAAAUUGGGCCCAGUAUUUUUAGGUCCAAAAACAGGGUAUAACAGCUGCCCCUAUUUAAGUUUCUUUGUCUGGAGAGUCAAGAGACGGAGUCUUUGGCUUGACAGGACGAAGACACUUAAAUAUUAGCAUUUGCACUGUGUUUGGACGUAAAAAUACGCCUACCCAUUUUCAAAUAAUAUGCAUGCCAUGCAUCAUUUGGAUUAUGAAUGCAAGACCUCAUGGGGAUUGGAAUUAACAAAAUAUGUCGUAUCCAUUGCGGGAUUGGUAGACAUUGACAAAGAUAGUGAAUAGCAGAGUAACGGGAAACUAGAAACAAGUUGGACAGGUACAAGCUGUUCUUGGAUUCAAACUAGCCACUUGACCGGGGAUGAAACAAACAGACAACUGCGAGUUGUUCUUAUGGAUUCGAACUGGUCACUUCACAGGGGAUGGAGGUUACUGGACAAACAUGAGUUGUUCUUAUGGAUUCGAACUGAUAACUCACUUGGGGAUAUUGGAAAGUGCGAGUUGUUCUUAUGGAUUCGAACUGGUGACCCGACUGGGAAAAAGAGAAAAUUGGCAAGUACGAGUUGUUCUUAUGGAUUCGAACUGGUUACUCGACUGAAAGCAUGGCAAAUAGACAGGUGCGAGCUUGUUCUUGGAUGCGAACUGGUUACUCCACCGGACAGAAACAGAUAGACAGGUACAAGCUGCUCUUGGAUUGAGCUAGCCACUUGACCAAACGGAAACAUAUUGACAGGUACAAGCUGCUCUUGGACUGAGCUGGGCACUCGACCGAUAACAUAAGCAAAUUGAUAGGUACAAGCUGUUCUUGGACUUGAACUAGCCACUUGACCAAACAGAAACAUAUUCACUGGGGAUUGGUUUUGUUCUGACAAAAUAUAGAUUGAGAUUGACUUGACGUCGAUUUGAUUUGAAAGGUAGAAAUUGACCGAUAUUAUUGGCUCACAAGGUUUUGACAGAGAACCUGACAUGAGUUUUGAAUUGAGACUGAUGUUGACAUUGAAAAUGCAAUAUGCACGGAUGAUAUAACGAUUUCAUUAAAUGCAUGAGCACGUAAUAUGCAUGAUUAUGCAUGUAUGAAUGCUUGUAAUGCAUGACUGUUGGCAUUUUGUAGGCACGACUUCACGGGGAAGACGAGACAUCAGAGUAUUGGGCACGUAGUGGCUCGUGCUAUGUUACACCUUCUUGGAAAUCCUCUUUGGAGAUGACGUCGUUUGGGAGACGUAUCGGAACCAUGGCUGAGGGCAGGUAGCUAUGCAACUUGCUGGGGAUAGAAUCUCGAGAGACUUUACUGGGGAUAAUGCCGUUGUGAUAGGCAUGUUGUGGACAUCGCAUCUGUGGUCAAUGCUUUUUGCAUGUUAUAUUCUCAAUUCUCAUUCAUCAUUUUUUGCAUCCCAUUUUUGCCUGGAUCGCCCUUUCGGGUUUUCGAUCCACCGGGGAAAUAAAUUCUUUUCAAUGCCCCAUUUUUGCCUGAACUGCCCUUUCGGGUUGUCAAUCCAGCGGGGUGCUCAUUUUUGCCUAAGCCGCCCUUCCGGGUUUUCAACUUAGCGAGCCUUUUCAUUUUCAUGCAUUUGCAUUCUGUUUUUUUUCAUUUUUGCCAUUGACCACAGAUUAUCUUGGAGGAGAACCUGCUUGUAACAUAUAUGGAAAUAGACAUUAACAUACUCUCGCUCAUGCAUGUUUCAUUUGAAUGUACCCUGUUGCUCAGGUUUGCUUUUCAAAACAGACAAAAAGUUUUCAAUUUUCAAAAUGUUUGUUUCAAGCAUUGUCAUUAUCAAAAUAGAAAGAAAAUGUUUUGUAUAUAGCUUUGAAAGUAAAAAGAAAGCAGAGUUUCAAACAAAAGCACAAGCUCAAAUUGAUGUAUAAGAGUGGUGGUCAGCCGAAGGCGUGACUCCACGGAUUCACAAAGCUUGGAAAAUGGUAAUUUUAUUGGUUGGUGGUACAUUGAACACAGUAAUCACUACAUUUCUUAGAAACUUUGAAUCCACAAGUGCAGAAGCUUUUGAUGAAGACGGUCAUUAACAGCUGCAGAUGUCCCAAGGGGGACGGUGGUUGGCCAGAUAUAGUUACUUGCCUUUUGUUUCAAUCUCAUUUUUGCAUGAACCGCCCUUCCGGGUUUUCGGCUCAUCGAGACACUCAUUCUUGCCUGAGUUGUGUACAAUCUCAGCGAGCUUUUCAUAUUUGUUUUUUUUGUCCCUUAUUUUUGCCUGGACCGCCCUUUCGGGUUCUCGAUCCACCGGGAAGCGCAUUUUUGCCUAGGCCGCCCUUUCGGGUUUUCGACCUACCACGCUGUUCUUUUCAUAUUUCUAGGCAAAGUAUUUCUUGACUAUAUCGGCAUUCACUGGAUUUGGAAGCUCUACACCAUCCAUGUGUGUAAGGAUUAAAGCACCACCGGAGAAGGCCUUCUUGACAACAUAAGGACCUUCAUAGUUAGGCGUCCACUUGCCCCUUGGGUCGGGUUGCUGGCUUAUCCUCCCUUUCAAUACAAGUUCCCCUACCUUGAAUUCUCGCGGAUGGACUUUCUUGUCAAAGGCAGUCUUCAUUCUUGCUUGAUAUGACUGUCCACGAGCCAUGGCAUCCAUACGUUUUUCCUCAAUCAAAUUUAACUGAUCAUACCGGUUUUGGCACCAUUCAGCCUCAGAUAACUUUGCUUCCAUAAUCACACGGAGAGAUGGGAUCUCCACUUCCAAAGGAAGAACUGCUUCCAUACCAUAUACAAGAGAGAAAGGGGUUGCCCCGGUUGAACUGCGCACAGUAGUACGGUAGCCAUGCAGAGCAUAGGGUAACAUCUCAUGCCAGUCCUUGUAAGUGGUUACCAUCUUCUGGAUGAUUCUCUUGAUAUUCUUAUUGGCGGCCUCAACUGCACCAUUCAUCUGAGGUCUAUAAGGAGAAGAGUUAUGAUGCUCAAUUUUGAAUUCUUCACAAAGAGCUUGCACCACAUUGUUGUUCAGGUUGGUACCAUUGUCGGUAAUAAUCUUGCUGGGAACACCAUAUCGACAGAUGAUGUUGUUCUUGAUGAACUUAGCUACCACUUGCUUGGUCACAUUAGUAUAAGAUGCUGCUUCAACCCACUUGGUGAAGUAGUCAAUUGCCACUAAGAUGAAACGAUGACCAUUUGAAGCCUUCGGUUCAAUCCUUCCAAUCAUAUCGAUGCCCCACAUUGAGAACGGCCACGGGGAUGACAUAACAUUGAGAGCGUGCGGAGGCACAUGAAUCUUAUUAGCAUAGAUUUGACAUUUGUGACAUUUUCUGGCGUAUUGGUAGCAAUCAUGCUCCAUGGCCAUCCAGUAGUAACCUGCCCGUAGCAACUUUCUUGACAUAGUAUGCCCUGUAGCAUGGGUCCCGAAGGUACCGUCAUGUACAUCAUGCAUUAACUGCUCCGCCUCAUGUUCAUCAACACAUCUUAACAAUACCAUGUCAUAGUUCCUCUUGUACAAAAUAUCUCCAUCUAACAGGAAUCUACCGGCCAAUCUUCUCAAGGUCUUCUUGUCUUGUUUGGAAGCACUCGGCGGAUACUCACGGCUCAGCAAGAACUGUUUGAUGUCGUAGUACCAAGGUCUAUAGUCAACCACAUUUUCACCAGCUUGAUCGAUCACAUCCCCAAUAGCAAACACAUGUGAAGGUCUUUCAAGGCGUUGCACUUUGAUUAAUGGCACAUCAUUCCAAUGGUUUACUCGGAACAUGGAAGAUAGAGUAGCAAGAGCAUCAGCCAUUUGGUUCUCAUCACGAGGAAUAUGAUGCAGCUCAACCUUUGUAAAAUAUGUCAGAAGACGUCUCGCAUAAUCACGAUAAGGAAUCAACUUAGCAUGGUGGGUCUCCCAUUCACCCUUUAUCUGAUUGAUGACGAGCGCAGAAUCUCCAUAGAUGUCGAGGUGUUUGAUUCUCAUGUCAAUUGCUUCCUCGAUCCCGAAGAUACAUGCUUCAUACUCAGCCAUAUUGUUUGUACAUUCGAACAGAAUACGGGCGGUAAAAGGAAUAUGAUGCCCUUGCGGGGAUACAAUGACUGCCCCAAUUCCUUUGCCAUAAGCAUUGACAGCACCAUCAAAGACUAAACCCCACUUGCUAUUGGGAUCUGGACCUUCAUUAAUCAACGGUUCGUCGCAGUCUUUGGAUUUCAAAUACAUGAUCUCUUCAUCAGGGAAAUCGAAUUCAAUUGGUUGGUAAUCAUCAAGAGGUUGAUAAGCAAGGUGAUCGGCAAGAAUGCUGCCUUUGAUUGCCUUUUGAGUUUUGAACACAAUAUCAUAUUCAGACAAAAGCAUCUGCCAGCGUGCGAUCUUCCCAGUAACGGCCGCUUUCUCAAAGAUAUACUUUAUCGGAUCCAUUCUGGAUAUCAACCAAGUUGUAUGAUUCACCAAAUAAUGGCGCAGGCGUUUGGCAGCCCAAGCUAGAGCACAACAAGUCUUUUCAAGCAUUGUAUAUCGAGUUUCACAAUCGGUGAACUUCUUGCUUAGAUAGUAGAUAGCAUGCUCUUUCUUUCCGGUUUCAUCUUGUUGACCAAGUACACAUCCCAUGGAUUCAUCAAAUACUGCCAAAUACAUAAUCAAAGGCCUUCCUUCCACGGGUGGGACAAGGAUAGGUGGUUCCAGCAGGUAAUUCUUGAUGCUAUCAAAAGCUUCUUGGCAUUCAUCAUUCCAUACAACAGGCUGGUUCUUUCUAAGUAGCUUGAAGAUCGGCCCGCAGGUUGCAGUCAUGUGAGAUAUGAAUCGGGAGAUGUAAUUCAAACGUCCCAAGAAACCUCUGACUUGCUUCUCUGUCUGUGGAGCUGGCAUUUCUCGGAUGGCCCGGACUUUAUCAGGAUCGACUUCAAUGCCCUUUUGGCUGACAAUGAAGCCUAAUAACUUUCCGGACCUGACACCGAAUGUACAUUUGUUGGGAUUCAAUCGCAGCUUGUAUUUUCUCAACCUUUCAAACAUCUUUGUUAGAUAUUCAACAUGCUGCUCCUCAUCUGCUGACUUCACAAUCAUGUCAUCCACAUAUACCUCAACUUCUUUGUGAAUCAUGUCAUGAAACAGAGUGGUCAUUCCCCUUUGGUAGGUAGCACCAGCAUUGAUUAGGCCGAACGGCAUCACUUUGUAACAGAAAGUACCCCAUGGAGUGAUAAAAGAUGUCUUUUCUCUAUCUUCAGGAGACAUUUUGAUCUGAUUAUAACCGGAAAAACCGUCCAUGAAGGAGAACACCUUAGAUUGAGCAGUAUUAUCAACAAGCACGUCAAUAUGGGGUAACGGAAAGUUGUCUUUUGGACUGGCUUUGUUCAAGUCCCUGAAAUCAACACACAUCCGGACUUUACCAUCCUUCUUCGGCACAGGCACAAUAUUGGCAACCCAUUCGGGGUACUCAACUGUCAUGAGGAAACCCGCAUCAAUCUGCUUUUGAACUUCAUUCUUAAUCUUGAGGGCCAUAUCAGGAUGAGUCCUCCUCAAUUUCUGCCUGACGGGAGGACAUUCAGGCUUGGUAGGGAUCCGAUGCUCCACGAUCAUAGGGUCUAGACCUGGCAUAUCUUCAUAGGACCAUGCAAAAAUAUCCGGAUAUUCCCGGAGGAGUUGGAUGAUCUUCUGUUUAACCCCUUCCUCUAGAGUAGCACCAAUCUUGAUUUCUCGCUUGUUUUCUUCGGUACCUAUGUUGAUAAGCUCAAUCUCUUCUUGGUGAGGCUGAAUGGCUUUCUUUUCUUGCUCAAGUAACCGAGUGAUCUCAUACGGUAUGUCAUCACCUUCCUCAUCUUCGGCUUCAUAUACAGGGAAAUCAAAACUUGGAGGAACCGUAGGAUUACUGUGUUCAACGGGUUUAUUAUGGUUCAACCUGCAUAUAAUGAUUGGAUGAUUUUAGAAAUAGUUUUUUUUUCAUGCAGAUUUUUGAAAUUAAUAAGAAAAUACAGACGUUUUGGUUUUUUCUGGCAUUACCAUUGUUUCCAAGGGAAAAAGCACUUAAAAAAAGUAGUCGUGGAAGAAACGACAAAAUUUUAUUAAUCAACGGCAAUGCCGAAACAAACAUGCCCUUACAGAAAAUAUCACUCUCGCUUUGGGCAGAGCGAGAGGAUUGUUAUUUUGAAAACAAAGCACUAAAGCAACAAGACACAUUACUCAGAAACAUGCAUGAUUGAAGGAAUGUCAAUGGCAUCCCAAUUCGUCGCAAUGCCUCCUGGUGUAACAAAUAUAGGCCUGAGACCAGAUCCAGUGGCUUCUUCAGAGAUAGCAUUAACAAACCCUGCACUGUGGAAGACUCCCGAGGAAACCCUUGAUGACGGGGAGAACCCGAGACCUUCCUUUCGCUUGUUCUCACAGAGCUGUAUCAUCUUGCCCCAGCCGGCAGUCUGACCUUCUUGGAUGGCUCUCUGAGCAUCCUUCAAUGAAGCCAUAGCAGCCCCAGCUUCCUUAGACUCUGCACCUUCAAUGGUCAAACCUUGGAAAGCAGUCCCUUCAGCAGAUCCUGCUUCAAUACAAGAGAAGGAAGACAACUGGCUGACUAAGUAUGCUUCUUCACCAUGGAUUGUAACGAGUUUUCCAUUCUUCACAAAUUUCAACUUCUGAUGUAAGGUGGAAGUAACCGCACCUGCAUCGUGUAUCCACGGUCUUCCCAGCAGGCAACUGUAGGAUGCAUUAAUGUCCAUCACUUGGAAGGUAACCAAGAAAUUCUCAGGGCCAAUGGUUAUCGGCAAGUCUAUCUCCCCCAGCACGUUCUUUCGAGAUCCGUCAAAAGCUUUGACCAAGAAAGUACUUCUUCUCAAAGGGGUCCCACGGUAGCUCAACUGAUCUAGAGUUGUCUUGGGCAUUACAUUGAGAGAGGAACCGGUAUCCACCAACACAUUUGAUAUCAUGUCUGAUUUACAAUUCACCGAGAUGUGCAAAGCCAGAUUGUGACCCUUUCCCGCUUCCGGCAACUCUUCUUCACUAAACCAGAGGUUGUUACAAGCAGUAAUAUUUCCCACUAUGCCACCGAAACGAUCUACCGUAACUUCGUGGUCAACAUAUGCCUGCUCCAGCACUUUCAACAAGGUAUUCCUGUGAGCCUCAGAGCUCAAGAGUAAUGACAAGACAGAUAUCUUUGAAGGAGUCUGCAGCAACUGAUCAACGAUCUUGUAGUCGCUCCUCUUUAUUAUUCUCAGAAUCUCAUCUAAAUUUGAAUCCUCUAUAGAUUUGCCUGGCUGAUUCACAUCUGUAGCAAUGGGUGAAACAACGGUUGGAGUUGCUUCUUCAACUGGUGGAGUGAUUGGCGUAGCUACCUUCUUCUGAAAUAAUGGCGGACGAACCUUCCCGCUUCUUAGCGCUGCAGAAGUCCCUUCGGCAAUAUUGCUUACUGUGGCAAAGGAGGCUAGAGGUACCUCUACUCCAUUUUCUAUUAUAGUAGCAUUGUACUUAUAUGGCACUGCCUUGUCCGAAGCAUAAGGAAUUGGUCCUGGCAACCUUAUUACCAAAGGCUCAGCAUUCUUCUUCAAAGGUACACUCUUGACAGGCGGAUCGUGAAAAACUGGCACGACCACGCAAACAUCACUGACAGUCAGAAGAUUAUCGUUCAUCGAACUUUGGAUGUCGUCUUGAACAGCAUGGCAACCCAAAGGAUCACGGAGGCAUCCUAGACACUUGGCAUGAUCAUGGCUGAACAGAGAAGCUUUGCACAGCUUGAUAUGUAGAGGCACCAGAGGAGUGACAACAUUGCGGACAUCAAGUCUAGGAGCUUCCUCACACACUUCGAUCAUAUUCACAGCGGCAUGAUUUGGUAGCGGAUUGUCAAGGACAUGUGGAACAUUAUUCUCAAAAGUCAGCUUUCCCUGAUCAAUGAGCUUCUUCACGAUAUACUUCAAAGCAUAACACCCCUCGACAUCAUGACCUAAGGCACCUUGAUGAAAGUCACAUUUGAGAUCAGACCUGAACCUUGGAGGCAACGGAUCAGGUGGUGGCUUGCCCUGUCUAGUCGUACAAUGACCUCUCUGGAGUAAAGUCGGAAGAAGUUCUGCAUACAACAUCGGUAUAGGAGGAAAAGUUGGUCUAGUAUACUGCUGCUGCUGCUGUUGUUGUUGUUGUUGAACCGGCAACUGUUGUUUUAUCUGUUGGGCAAUUGCAUUGACGGGCACUUGAGGCUGGCCCGGUGGCAAAGGGUACUGAUGAUAAAACGGUGGGAAGAACGAAUGCUGAGAAUACGGCAUAUAUGGGUAUGACGGAGGCAUUUGAGCUGUAUUGAUAGGAGCAACGGUAGCUAUAGAUUGACCGGCUCCAGCUGACACCAUCCCCACUUCCGUUUCUUUCUUCUUGUGGUGUCCAUUACCAUAUCUCUUCGAUGCACCCACAGAGGAUUCAGCUUUCUCAAACACAAUGAUUCCAUCCCUGACUGCUUCCUCAAGACGGGUUCCCAUAGUGACCAUCUCCGAAAAGUUGUUCGGGGCAGCGAUGAUCAUCCUCUCAACAUAAUCUUUCUUCAAGGUCUUUAAGAAUGUCUGGGUCAUUUCUUCUUCAUCUAAAGCAGGAGUAAUACGGGCAGCUGCCCCUCUCCACCUUUGCGCAUAUUCACGGAAACUUUCCUCCUUUUUCUGAGAUAGGGACCUGAGAAACUCCCUAUUCGGCUUCAAUCGAGUGUUAAACCCGUAGUGGCUCCUGAAAGCGGUGGCCAGCUCAUCAAAAGUAUGGACAUCGUCUUUGCUCAGACUAGUAUACCACUCUGCAGCAUCCUCCAUCAGACUGUCUUGGAAGUAAUGGAUCAUAAGGGAAUCAUUGUCCUUGUAGUUGCCCAUUUUCCGGACGUAUUUGACAAUAUGAUUUUGAGGACAAGUCAGCCCGUUAUACUUGUCGAACUCCGGGACUUUGAACUUUUUUGGAACAUCUACCUUCGAUACUAAGCAGAGGUCCUGGGUUUUAAUGGAGUCUCCGUUUCCCCUGUUGGCCUUAAUUUCCCGUUGGAGCUCUUUGGCAAGUUCUUCCAUUCUCUCUUCCAUAGUUCCGGUUGUGGCAAUACUCCCGUGGUGCGCAUUAGCAUGGACAAAUAGAGGCACCGCAUUCACAAUGGGCUCGGUAACAGUUGUUGCAGCUUGAGUCAAGGCAGUACUAACAGGAGUUAAGUUUGCCCCUGGGAUUGGGCCAUUGUUGGUAGUACCAGAGGUCCCUGCCCCUGUAUUAGCAGUAUAGUACAGCGGAAGUCCGUAAGGAUACCCGGAUGGCAUGAUAGAGCGGGGAUCAGUUGUUACGGUAGGAGUCACAUUUGCAGCUGUAGAAACUACGGGAACUGGUUGUUCCUGAGCAGCCAACAGAGCAGUCAUAGCAUCAUGAGCUUUGGCCAAUUCCUCCCUUAAAGAUGCCAAUUCGGUACGGAGCUGUGUGUUCUCUUCUUCCAUAGCCCUUUUCUUUCUUCUGUAUUCUCUGGUUCGAUCAAUUCUAUCAGGUUCGUAAACUCUCUGAGCACGAGCCACUUUUCACACUAAGGCAGAGAAACCAGGAGGUGGUAAGCACUCGGAAGCCUUUGUGACCGAUGCAUGAUGCAUAUGAUGCAUGAUAUGCAAAUGCAAAUGCGAAAGACUUAUUUUUUUCAUCGAAGGAUUUUUAAACAAAUUGGAAAUUUUGCAAAUAAUCAAAACUACAUAGCAUUUUCAAAAGGAAGACUUUGAAAUUUCAACAAGAUAAACAAAUGAAGCCCUCAAGCAUAAGAAGUAGUCGGAAGAUCAUCGGACUCGGAAUCUGAAUCACAGUAUCUAUCAAAGAAGUCUCGUCGUCCUCGAGCUCUCUUGGAGUCCCUCAUAAGCAGCUCAUCUUUCUCUUCCAAUUCCUUCCGGGCCUUAGCUAACUCUUUCUUCAACAUUAGAUUCUCAUGAGUCUUCUGCUCAUCUCUACCAUCCAAAGUCAUGAUUAGAUUCUCGGCUUGAUUGUACCGAGCUUUCCACACUUGCUUCUCACGACUCUCCAUAGCUAGAUGCUCCUGAUACAUAUCCUAAGUCGCGGGGAGCAAAGGUAGAGGCAUAGACGGGGUAGACGAAGACACGUAUCUCAUAGCUGGAUAAGGCAUACCAAUCUCCUCAGCUCGAUCUAUCACCCACUGAGUAUAGGCCUCAUGAGCAACACCGGAUCUCACACCUAGAUGCUUCACACUCUUCCUUCGAACCUUGGACCAAGCAUCCAUGAAAGCUUUCCUUUGUCCAGUAGGAGCACUCGUGUAGAAGAAGAACUCUGGAGAUGUAGCAAGAUUGAUGGGCUUCGACUUCAUAGGGAAACCAAACUGUCUCAUAGCAAGCUCGGGAUUGUAGUUAAUUCCUCCCCGAGUACCAAGAAGAGGUACAUUGAGAAAGUCUCCACAACCCAUAAUGAUUUCCUUCACUUGAGCGGCAGGAGUGAGCCAGACGACCUCAUUAGGAGUGAGGGCCAUAAUCCGCUGAGAGUAGGACCAAUUUUCCGAGUUAUCAUGGAAGGAACUCGGAAGGUGCGAAAUAAACCACCUAUACAAAAGAGAUAUGCAGCAAAGAAUAUACCCACGGCCCUUGAGAGUCCUGUCAUGAAUGGCGUGGUAGGCAUCCGCUAGCAAAGUAGGAACCGGGUUCUUGGAAUGAAAGAUCUCGAUAGCAUUCAUGUCCACGAAGUUGUCGAGGUUUGGAAAGAGAAUGAGCCCGUAGAUAAGCAAAGCAAGAAUAGCCUCGAGUGUAUCCUGACGAGUAGUACUGAGAUUAGCCUGAUCAAGAAGAUACUUUGAAGUGAACCCCCGGAUGUGAGACUUGGUAAUAAGAUGGUUGGAGACGUCGGAAGUCUUGAGGUAGAGAUCCUUAGCAAUAACCAGAGGAGUAAGAGAAGUCCCGGGACCGGUGAAAGGCGUCUUCUCGGCUAUAGGUAAACCCACUAGAUUGGAGUAAGCCUCGAGAGUAGGAACCAACUGGAAGUCCGGGAAGGUGAAGCAACGGAAGCUUGGAUCAUAAAAUUGCACUAGAGUGUGCACUAGCUUCUCGUCCACAUCGGUUCGGAGCAAAGUAAGCAAUCCCCCAUACCGGAGUCGGAACCCUGUUUGACUCUUGACCUUGAGUGCCAACUCUCUUAAACUGACCAAAUCCACUUCCUUGAACUUGUAGCACUUAGUCUUCUUCAUACCUGUGAUUAUUUACAAAAUAUUCCAUUUGUUUAGGCCCUUCGAUGAAUGCAUGAAAAAUGUUUAUGCAUGAAUGCAUGUAUGCAUGAUUGUGUUGUUUAGUUACAAAGAACAAGAUGGGUUGAGAUUCAAAGUAACAGGGCUACGGCUGGACACGGCGUCCGGUGAACUAAGGCUUUGGAUAGUAGUAACCAAGGUUCUAACACAGUUCCCAAACUGCAACCUCUCUCACAUAUAUCAUGGUAGUACAGGACGACACCCGUUCCAUGAUUAUUUGUGAGAAGGUCUAGUUUGAGUGUAGUAUCGCGUGACGACUAAAGUUUGAGACAACACUCAAUUUAGCCACCGCACUACGUCCUAAAAAGGCUAGGAUGGGUUUGGUAACUACGGUUCAUAGCUUCGUCGAACAAUUGAAAGUGAAGUGCCUAAGCAUGACAACACACGCCGACAAUAUCACCUUCAAAAUGCCUCAGCUAUGUGAGAUUGAUCGCAUAAUCCAAUACACGAGGCAACCCCCGGAUCGAAUUGUCGAUUAUAUCUCUACCUAAACAUAAGUUCACUCAGCCCGGGUAUAGGACUUUUGAUAUUCUCACCCCCCCCGUCAAAUGAAAGUAAACAAGUAUUCACAUAUGUAAGCAAUAAAACAAAGCGUAAAUAAACUAAGGAAAACUAGGCGUGACCCGCUAAAAAAAUCCCCAGUGAAGUCGCCAUUUCUGUUAUCAUGGUUUUUGGGUGCCAAGCCAUUAAUUAGACUUGUACCUUUCGACCGUUGAUAUCUCUAUUUUUUCUUGGGAAGGGCAAAAUUGAGAAAAAACCCUUAGAUUCUAAGUUCGGGGGCCGGUUUUACUACGGGAAGGUGUUAGGCACCCGGAGUAACUAUAGUCCUCUAUAGGAGCCGUUUUCCUAAGUCUAUAUUCACGCUUAUUUUUACUUACUUUUGAAAAUGGGAGGUUUAUUUAGUUAAGAAUGGGGGGGAGAGAUUGUAAGACUUUGAUUUUAUUUCGGCUUGGAUGAGUUUUGACUCAUUGCCUACGUACCGUUUUACAGGAUCAAAACCGGCGUAGUUCUUGCUAAAAAGACUUGUUUUUCUUUUGUUUUAAUUGUUUGAUUUUAAGUUUUGAAAAAAAGGUUUUGAAGAAGGAGAUUGGGAGGCUUCAUGAGCAUUAGAUUUUAGCAAAAGGUGAAGUUUGAUUAGUGAUUAGAAAAAAAGUCUAAAUGAUUAAGAUGAAUUGAAUUUUCCUUAAGAGAAAAAAAAAAAGAAAGGAAAAAAAAAAAUGAAGUGUUGACUUCAUACUUAUUAUGAAAAUUUUUGAAGUGAAGUUCAAUUGUUUUUUUUGGAAAAAAGAUGGAUUUUCUCUAAGUGUUUAAAACCUAAACGCUUAUUUAACCAUACAAUCCUAUGCAUACAUCUAAGGUGAGUGUGUGCGUGUCGGUGCAUCAUAGUGUCCAUAGUCCAUAUUACAAAAAUUGCCUAAAUACAUUCUAUGGCCCCUUUGCCAAGCUACAAACCAAUGAUAACAAAUUACAUUACCAAAUGAAUUAAAACUUGCAAAAGAUAAAGGCUAGGCUAAAGAAAGUGGAGGGAAUGCUAAAUGGGAUGCAUGAAACAUGGAAAUAAACUUGUUAGUGAAAAGAAAAAACAUAACAAGUACUAAGAAAUAAAAGCAUGCAAGAUGGCACAAAAAGUUAACAAAAUGACAUUAAACCCUAAAAACUUAGGUAUGAAACCUAAAGCAUUCUUGGCCUCUAAUUCUCAUGCUUUAACAAAUUUUGAAAGAGUUUUCUUUAUCUCAAGUUAUAGCAUAGAAUUAUUGGAAACAUGCAAACAUGGUUUCAUGCCACAUUUUCUAGAAUAAACUUGGCAUUUUAUAUCUUUCAAAAUAUGCAUAUAUUGUUCAUAAAAUCAAGCACUCAUGAACCAAAUCAAAACAGCAAAUCAACAUGAAAUUAUUGGCACAAAUCUCUCAUAUUAACACGUCAAGUAGCUUUUAUUUCAUAUUCUCACAUCAAGGACAAAUGUGUGAAGAAGAAUCCAUAACAAAUAAUUCAAAGAGAAUUAAAAUGCUAUGAAUUAAUUAUACAAAAAUUUCAUAGAUCCUUAAUGUUCAAAAAUGUCAUAAAAACACUAAGAAAAUAUCAAGAAACAUGUGAUAAUUUUUUGGAGGUUUUUUGGAGAAAAUUUUAAGCAUGCAGGGGUUCAAACAGCAAAGAAAUAUGGUGCAAAUAGCAGGAAAACAAACAAAAACGUAAAAGAACAAAGCCCAAACCAAAGGCCCAAUACACUAGAAGAUCCGGUUGCACAGGAACCAUACGAUUGAUCCAGGAUUCUGAAACCCUAGAUCAGACGGCCAGGAAUCAAAGGGGGAAUGGACCGGACUGGACCGGUCCGGUUCGCUGGCUUAUAAAAAGGAAGGAGCUCCGGUUUAUUUCAUUUUGCUGCUCUCAUUCUCUCUCUAACUCUUCUCUCUUCUCUCAUCUCUCAUCUCUCACUAACUUCGCCGCCGGCGAGGAUGAAGCUACGGCGGAGACCUUGAAGGUCCGCCGGAAACUUCAUCUUCUCCGGCGAGUUCAUGCAGUUUCCGGUGACCUAAAUUUCCAGAUUUCAAAGAUUCUUACUCCAUUUGAUUCGUCCUUUAACCCUAAACACGAAUCCAGCAGUUGUUUUUUCAAAUUCAAGUCGAAACGAUGUAGAUCUGGAAAUUUGCCGUACGGCUUUGAAUUUGAUUUUGAUUUUUUGAAAGAUAACGUUUAGAUCCUUGAAGAUCUACAUCAUUUCGUUGUUUAACACCUCUUUGAUGUUUGUUCUUGCUUUCAAAACUUAGAUCCUUAUGGAUCUAGGUUUUGUGUUUACGGUUACGGUUUUGGCUUUGAAUUCUGGAAAUUUGGAUCUGUUUUGCUUGCGUGAUUUUUAGGUUUAACAGUGAUAUUGCUUUUGAAAAAGAUUAUGAGUUUUACCUAAGGUUUUGGUUGAAACCUUUAAUGGAGAAAUUCUUUGGAAAACUUCAAUCUCUGAUGCUACGUGAUUUGGCUUUGAAUCCGGAAAUAAACCGGUGUUCCUGCUGGUUUCUUGCUUUAUCGUCUUCUUCGCCGGUUUAAACCUUCAUUAUCUUUCUUUCUUCUUCGUCUUCCUCACUGUAUCUUCGUGAUCGGUGCUGGAGUUUGCCUUUGGCGAAUUCGCACCUUGAAUUGCGAAGAUACUGAUUCAAUGAUGAUGAUUCUUCAAAGAAUCACUGAGAAUCCAUGAAAAAUAGCUUGAAUUUGUGUAGUUUCUGUUUCUGGAAAAGGUUAGGUUUACGCCAUUGAUGAAUGUUGAAGCUUUUUCUGUUUUGAUUUGUAACUGACAAGAGAGAGUGUGACUCUGUGUUUAUGAGUUGGCACCUGAUGAAUGGCUUUGAGUGGCACUGUGCACCUUUUAUAGCAUGACAUGUGUGCCUCUGAACAAAUGAGAAAGUGACACCUGGACCUGGAAAAAAAAAUGACACGGCCUUGGACAAAAAAUCAAAUUUGGACCUUCUUGCAAAAAACAAAACUUAAGGACUAAACUGCAAUUGACCAAAAAAGGACUAAAAUGAAAAUUGGAAGAGAAACUGGACUGAAAUGUAAUUUUGGGACCUCAAUUGAGGGACCAAAAUGUAAUAAAAAAUAAAAUUGAAUAAAACGUAAUUUGACCAAACGUAAAGCGAAACAAAAAUAAAAUUGACAAAACGGACUAAAACGAACCAAUGGCCUAAAUGAGGUACUUCAAAGUAACCUCCCCAUGCCAAAAUUUUAUGCGAAAUGACCAAAAUGCCCCUAGGGCUAAAAAUGACCUAAACAGAGCCAAAAUGACUCGACACUGACUCAGAUGCAAGUUUGAAAUGAAAUUAGCAAGGUUUACUGAUGGAAAGUUAAAAAUGAAUUUGAAAAGACCCAGAGACAGUCACAAGGAUGAAAAUGGGUCCCACUGCAGGAAAUGACCAAAAUACCCUUCUGUAUGACUUUUUUUGCAAAUUUUGAAAUAAACUGUAGAAAAAGCAAUGUAAUGAUUCAGAGACACUUUUGAAUGACUUACAAGACAAGUAAAGACAUUUCGAAAGGUUUUAUGCAAGAAAAACAUAGGUAAAAUUGUGAUUGAAAAUACUGCGAGGCAGAGACAAUUUGAACUGUGCAGUUGAAAUUUGAUAAUUGACAAAGUUUAAAAAUGAAAUUGGGCCCAGUAUUUUUAGGUCCAAAAACAGGGUAUAACAAGGAUGAAGUAAAUGAACAAUGUCAGCUUAUAAUUCUGUAGUGUCAUUUUUUCUAUUUAUAAUGAGUUUUUACUACUAUUAUUAUUUGUAAUAAAUCUUUUCUAAAAAACUUUGUAUAAUUUACUUUAUUUAUGAAUUACAAUAUUUACUAUUUUUUGGGUGUUUUUAUUUUAUAUGAAGGAAUCAUUAGAAAUAGACAUGUAGUUAUUAUUUGGUUGUGGGUUUGUUUGGUCACUCAACUUUGUUCGCAUGAAUUUUGAUCUUAAUCUCGAUGCUAUCGAGUCACCUUUAAAAUGAGAAACCUAAUCAACAAUAUUUGUAGGUGGUUUUGUCAACGUUAUUUUACCAUGCAAUUUUUUUUUUCUCCUAUGAAGAAGACUCUAUUUACAUGUUUAUCUAAUCUCACUAAAACAAUAUUGAAGCCCAUUGCAUAAAAUAUUAACUUCUUUUUUCCAAUUCUCACUUGAUGGUUACAUGUGGCGUUAAGAUUGAUACGAUAAUUUUAUCUUGAAUCACAUUCAAACAGAUGGGUCUAAAGACCACGUUGUUUUCAAUUUUUUUGUUGCCAAGAAUACUAUUGAGGAGGUCAUUAUGAACACGGAAGCACCCUACUCCAUAAAUCUAAUGUAUGGCAUCCUUACGGUGGCUUCAUUCCUUCUAAGUGACUUCAUUCCUUCUAAUGAGUGGUGAGAUAUAGUAUAUUGUCAUAAUAAGAUCGAACAUAUGGAAGUGACUUUCAGAUUGUGACUUGGCUUGCACGUUACGCACAUUUAAACAGACAAAGAUGAAGACAUCUUCAAUCAUUUUUAUUGUAAAAAACUAUACACACAUACUCUUUAGAUAUUAUUUGAUCAUUUGUAUCGUGUUAUUCUAGUUGGAAUGAUUUAUAUAAUCGGUUAUAUGCCAGUGUUGGAUGCAUAUCAUGUUUGACACUAACAAAAUAUGUAUUUUGCGUAUUUUGCUAGUGAAUUGAUGAGUAAUUUUCUUUUUCAAAUGACGAGGUGAUGAUAUGGGGUGCUACGUGUAUGAGAAUAUGAGAUUCUACAAGUGGAUGGAUGUAUAUGACUUAUGACUUGUUUUACUUUUUGAAAAAGAAUAUGGAUUUUGAAUAAUUUAGAUUGUAUUGGGUAGUUUGCAUAUGGUAUUUGUGUAGUUUGGAUGUGUACACCAAAUUACUUGUUCUAGAAAAUGAGUGAAAUAUUACGUUUGAAUCUUAAUAAUAUACAAAUGUGAAGCUACAAAUAGGAAAAAAAUUUUGCCCCAAUCCAAUGUGUCAAAAUUCUAAGCCUCCUACAAUAAAUCAUCAUAUUUUAUAAUCUCAUUUUACCAUCACUUAUAGUAAUAGGGACAACAAAACCAUAACAAUUUCAAAUUUACACAAUAAAAAUAACAUCAAAAUUCAUUUUAGUUCAUAAAAAAUUGAAUGUGUUAAUUUCCCUCUAAGAAAUGUCAUUUUCAAGUGUGUUAUUAAGAAAAAAACAAAUGUUCAAUUUGAAAUGAGGCCCAACUAUGCUAAGCCCAGCACUCAAACUCUCCUCAUUUUCAGAAUCAUUCAAUGCAAAGCAACAGAAAGGGAAAGCUUUCCCUGCCAUCACUGUUUUCACGUUGGAAAAUCUCUCUUUCACGUUGGAGUGGACUUGAGAGAUUUGUUUGUUUGUUUGUUUGAUGAAUUUUCCAUAAAUAUACUUAGGCUACUGCAACUAUUCCAUCAAAUUUAGUACUUAUAUUUUCUUCAUUUUUCUUUUGCUUUAUAGCUCUACCUUGCCACCAUUUUGAGAAGAGUAAUCUGAAAUUGAGAAGAGGAAAGUAAAGGUUGACAUUAAUGUGCUUUGUUUUCAACCUCAUUGGCCUUUCUUUACACAAUGUGAGUGGAUAUCUUCCUAUAAACUUUUAAAUUUUAUUUUUCAUUAGAGGCUCUUCCUAUCCUAAGUUUUUAUUGAAUGUUUUUCAUUUUGUAUUUCUCUCUGUUUCAUUGAUUUCAUGAACAGCUCCACUGCGUCGGAGCAAUCGACACCAUCUCUUUGAAACUGUUUCCCCAUCAUCAUGAGUAAGUAUUCAUCCUUCAUAUUUUGUGCUCAAGUUCUUUAUCUGAUUUGUUGUGUUUUUUUCUUAGAAGUUGUGAAGUUGUUUGUUGUAUCAACUAGAAACAUUUAUCAGUUUUGAUAUAAUGUAACUAAAUUUUGUGAUUGAAAAUAGAAAUUGAAAUUCCAUUUGUGCUAAAGUUCUUUAUCUGGUUUGUAAUCUUGGGAUAUAACUACAGAAACAUUUGGAAUUUUUUGAUUUUUUCUUGAUAAUUUGGAUUGAUUUCUUUUGAUUGUUUAUGGAAGUUUUUGUUUGAGCAUGACAUGUGGCUUCUGUCACGAUUUUGGAGCAUCUGCAAGUUAACAUAUAGAUUUAUACUGAGGGCCUCUGUAAAUUGUAAGUCUUUUGAUUACUUUGUGUCUGUUUCGAGUUCUAAUUGUCAAUGUUAUAACUUAUAGGUUCAUUUAUCUAUUGAAGCAUCUUAGGCAUGUUUUGAUGUCCUUGUUUUUUGGCUGUUUCGGUUCUAUGAACUAAGGAAAGAUCCUAUCUGUAGUUCUCAUUAAGCCUUUAUUGCAACUCAUGUGAUGGAUAUGUAUACUUCAUUAUACCUUCGGAGUCACUAGAGCAACUUAAAUAUAGAUAUUUUGUUGUAUCCCUAGAGCAAUUAAAAGUAUCAUCUUGCUUAUUUGCUAUGAUCAAUGAAAUAUAUUAGCAUGAUACGUACAAGUAAUUAGAUACUUUUAGUAGAUCAUCGUCAUUUUUAAACUUAAAAUUAGAUUGAUGGGAUAGAACAAAAUAACUAUUGGUUUGUGGACAAUCAACCCAUGGGGAUCAAUGGAAGGUUACAAAGCUGAAACAGUAUGUAAGGGUGGAUUUGAGUUCACUAUGAUACGAAAUUGCAACUGUUAUGAUGGGGUACAUGAAUAAGAACCGGUUUUCUUACAUGCAACUGCAACUGUUAUUUUUUUUAGUCUGAAUAUGUCCUUUGCAAUCUUUUUUAGUGAAGUCUUAUAUAAAUCGGGACAUUAGAUACACUUUGUUUAUGGUCAAAUAUGUACAGGCAUACUUAAUUUGAUGUUAGGGUUGUGAAAAGAUUUGAUAGACUGUAAUGUUGGCAUUUACUAUUAGUAGGAUGUUUAAUUUAUUUAUUUUGGACAAAAUUAAUGGUUGUAUAAUGUUGGCACUUGCCAAAUAGUUAUUUGUCGAAUAUUUAAGAAUUGAAUUCAACCUAUCAAAUAACAAAUGAUAACACAUUUUCGAUGACUAAGUUUUCUUUUCCAAUCACGUUAAUAAUUAAUAUUCUUUUUAGACAAUUAUUCAUUAUAUUAGUAUAAAAUUAUUUGAGUAAAGUUUUAUCACCCGUGCUGUUUUAUAUCAUGAUACAAAUAAUUCAUGAUAUGGUUGUAUCAGUUCCUAAAUAUCGGAACAAUUUAAUUUUUGAAUUGACUGCACCGUAACUAUAAUUUCAUAGUAUUGAAGCACUUUGAAACACUGCAGUUUUAAAACUAUUGUGCCCAAACAUGUGCAGGAUUGAUGGCUCCUAUCUCCAGUUAGUGAGAAAUUGGUUUUGAAGUUUGUAGGGUUGAUGGUUAGUGAGACUGGAGGAUAUAAAACAACAUGUUUGUACCGAUGGUUGAUGCUUUCAUGUCUUACUUCAAUAGGGGUAGGACAUUACUUUAAUAACCAAGUAUAUGGAUUUAAAUGGAGUUGUAUGGUUCAUAUUAACUACAAAGACUAUGAUUCAAAUCUGGGAGACUAUAUGUAUUAGAUUUAAUAUCAAAGUCUUAUAUUCCUCAAACAUGGGGCUAUAGAUAUUUAAUUUAUGUUUCUAUUGAUAAUGAAGGUACAAUCAUGUUGAUUUUAACAUUUGUAUUCAAUAUAUUGGAUAUAUUUUUAUUCAUUUAAAUUAUUGAUGAAAUAUAUUAUAUAUAUUAAGUUUUAUACAUUAUGCAUUGAGAAUCAACAUUUGCUUAUUACAAUAAGACAAAUUUUUGUGAUGACAACAACAUUUGAUUUGUCUAAGAAGUGCAUUAUAUGUUUUUAUUUUGAUUGUACGUUCAGAGUAAUAUUUUUUUAACGCCACAAUAAAUCCUUUUUCGCCCGUGCGUUGCACGGGUGGAAAUACUAGUAUACAACAGUUGAGUGGAAUAAAAUGAAAUGCAAUUGGUGUGUAUGUACAAUUUUGAUGGUAAGGAUGAAUGGUUAUUUAAUAUGUUGAGGUGAAAGUUUGAAUACGUAAUGUUUUAUUUCUGUUGAUUUUACUUUACAUUUAUUGUUAUAUUUUUAUAUUUGAAUAUAAAUACAAGAUUGACACUUUUAUAUAUAUAUAUAUAUAUAUAUAUAUAUAUAUAUAUAUAUAUAUAUAUAUUAUUUUUGAGAGAAACAUCUAUAUUAUUGUUAAAUUUCACAAAAUAAUUCAUCAAUUUGCUUGCCUGGUUUAACAACAAUCGGAAAUAUUAUUUGCGAGUAUCUAAUAGGUUCAAAUCCAAUUGAUAUCCCUAGUUAAAAAGGAAUUUAGAAGUGAACUUUAGACCAUUUCAAUGAUUACUCUUUUGGCUUUUCUUUGCUUGUAAUGAGAGUAACAUCACCUUUUCUUCAAACUAUUUGAUCUUCACAUAAAGCCUCUACCACCUCCACAUAUAGUAUGUGUUACUGAAUUUAGAAGCAAAUCAUGCUUUAUACACCUUCAUACCAUAGAAGCCCUCGUCAUCGAAAGCGGGAAGAAAUGAAGGGUGUUUGAUGUAGAGUUUUUAUUUUUUAUAAGCUUGGAUGGAUCAACUCCAUUGGUAUGAGUUUGAGCUAGAAGAAUAAAAUCAUUUGCAUAAUUUAGAAAUUAAUCCCAUAAAUUAUAACCACAUACAUAUUUAGCAAAUCAACAUUCUUUUAUCCCUGUUUGCCAAUUUUCUAUAUUUUUUAUUGAAAAAUAAAAGUUUAGGUGAGUUGUGUCUCGGUCUGAAAGCCAUUUACUAAAUAUGUUAUAGUUAAACUAUCCGCCAAAAGGGAAGGUUAUGUUAAAAUUGUAUCUUUGUUUGUUAUAAUUAGAUAGCUUGGAGAACAAGUUACUUUGCAACUCCAUAGAAUCUUACUAUACACUAGCUGCAUCUAAUCUUAAUUCACUAGAAAGUUUGUUAGGAUCUUAAACAGCUAUAUAUAGCUUGCUGUAACCGUUUUCUUCUCAAUUCUAUGAAUCUAGCUUUUAUCUCAAUUUUCUCUCCUUCUUCUUUGUUAAGCUUCUGCAUUUCUUCAACUUUCACCAUGGAUAUGGUGAAGUUUAACAUGGUAUCAGAGCUCUUUUGAGCUCUGCUGCGCAUCGUUCUUCCUUCGUUUCUUCUUCUUCUUCGUUUUACGAUGGUUCGUGGAAACGCCGCCACUAACGGUGGUGCAAAUGGAGGAGCUAUGAUUCCUCCACCUCUUGAUCCUUCGCAACAACCUGGUAACGUGUAUUACGUUCAUUCUUCCGAUGGUCCUUCCUCUGUCAUUGUUACUCCGGUAUUGAACAACUCAAAUUAUCACUCUUGGGCGCGUUCAAUGAGAAGAGCUUUAGGAGGAAAGAACAAGUUUGAUUUUGUGGAUGGAUCAAUUCCAGUUCCUAUGGAAUUUGAUCCAAGUUUCAAAGCAUGGAAUCGUUGUAACAUGCUUGUGCAUUCAUGGAUCAUGAAUUCUGUUGAAGAUUCUAUUGCACAGAGUAUUGUGUUUCUUGAGAACGCCAUGGAUGUAACACCCCGUUUUCCCAAUAUACAAAUUUCUUAAACAUUUAUCAGAGUAAAAACCAUAAACGGGAUAUCACAUAGAAACGUAAUCCAAAAGCAGUUAAAUAAUAAUUUAACUUCCACAUAAUAUCUUAAUAUAGCAGCGGAAUAUUAGUUCAGAAGUCAUAAAUCAAUUUGGCACGCAGGCCCCAACAAAGUAUCUCAAAAGAGUUAAUCAAAACAGAAAUUAUCAUAGCAGUUCACGUAAAAGAAUGAAGCAUGUUAUAGCAUAUAACCCCAUCCCGUUAUGUAUCAGAGCGACCUAGACAACACAGUGAAGGCAAGGCCAACUCACGAAAGCAAACUGCACACUAAGCACGAUCACCUGCAAGUUACCCAUACGAAGGGCAACAUUUUCAAGCAGAAGGGGUGAGAUUUCAUAAUCAAAUAACAUUAAUCAAUGUAAUUGCGAAUCAUAAAUUAACAUCAUAAUCAUUCCUUAAAUAACAUUGCAUAAUUGCUAAACAGUUAUAACAUAAUCAUAUAUCCAAUUAUCAUGAACAACAUAACAUAUUCGAUAACCACUUAUCACAUAAUCACGUAAUCAAUCAUUAUCAACAAGGCAUCUUAAUCAUGACAAUGCGACAAUGCUCUUAGACUCCUUAUAUGCAUGUGGUACCAAUCGUCAUCAUAAGUAUUAAUAUACUUUAAUCGUGCGGAGGACAAAGCUCCUAUAAAACGUGCGGGGGACAAAGCUCCUAAUAUUCGUGGUGAGGACUAAGCUCAAUGAGAUGCUAUGCAUGGACACUUAUGAACAAAACAUCGUAAUCAACAUAUCAACAUGCAUCCAAUAAUUUGGAGCUAACUUCAUCAUAUACUUAUACACUUAGUUAAAUAACGGAAGCAGCAUAAACAGGUCACAUAAACGAGAUGAUAUUAUUAUAUCAAUAGCACAUAAAUUGCAUCAUUAUCAAGCUUUCAUAUCUUGCAUGAAUAUACAAUACAUUAGUUCAUGUCCAAUUAAUAUCAACAUAACUUAAACAACUCUACAGACUGCAUUAAACGUCAUCAUUAGGUCUUAAUGCCAAUUAGGGGUUCGCUCUUGAUCCACACGUGCGACACAGAUCGUACAAACACUCAAACAAACUACAUCCUGGGCUAGCUCGCGAGACGAAAGUUCUCACUCGCCAUGGCGAGUACCACUCAUCUCCCAAACUAAUGUUGUUCUGGGUUCCCUCUGAUCCUACAUUCAUUCCCAAUCAAUACUAGGUAUGUUCAGGCACUCAAAGGCACUCAAGGUCCAACUAAAAAGGUCGGAACACAAAAUCUAACAUGCACUCUGCCUAAGCUCGCGAGGCGAGGAAGGGUUGCUCGCAAUGGCGAGCUGCAUCACACAACUCGCGAGGCGAAGGGCGUUGCUCGCCAUGGCGAGUUGCACCAAAAAACUCGCGAGGCGAAGGGAAAGGGCUCGCGUGGCGAGCGAUGAAGUUCAUCACUCGCGAGGCGAGGAUCAUCCCUCGUCGUGGCGAGCGAUGAAUAGAAGCACGGGCAGACUACGGGUUUUCUCGAAAAUCCAACAAACAACAUGGUUCAAAGCCUAAUUUUGAUUCCAUAAUCCAUCCUAAACAUGUUCUAAGGUUAAAGGACGGUUUCUACAUCAAUCUAAACAAGUUUUACCGUUUGAUCAUCAAUUUUUAGGGUUUUGACCUAAUUUCCAAACUUUUCUAAAUCAAUCCUAACUUUGUCAUUUAAUCAUCAGAAUUACAGCAAUCAACGUUAUUGAAUUAUUAGUCUCACCCUUACCUUGUUUGAAGAAAAUCGCAGCACUCUUCCUUGGUUUCUCUAGACUUGGCUUUUUCUCCCUUUUUCUCCAAAACAGUCGUACGUACAAUGUUUUUCUAAAACUAGGUCUAACCUUUAUAUACCUCUUCUUAAUUACUUAUUUUAUCUCACUUUCUCCCCCAAAACUAUCUAAAAUAUCAAAACAGCCCUCAACUAAAUAUUUUAUAUUAUUUUCAAAUCUUUAUUUUAUUUAACAAUAAAAUAAAUCCCUUAAUCUUAUCAAAUCUUCCAAAACUCAUAACUUAUCACGUCAUCCAUCAAAUCACCAAAAUCAUCGCAAAUCAUCAAAACAUAUCAAAAUCAUGCAUAUAUUAUAUAAAUAUAAUAUAAUCGCCUAAACUCGAUUAAAUAAGCAAUUAACAAAAGUGGGCGUUACAAUGCAUGUUUGGAAUGAACUCAAGGAACGGUUUUCUCAAGGUGAUUACAUUCGUAUUUCUGAAUUACAAUGCGAAAUCUUUGGAUUGAAGCAAGAUUCGCGUUCAGUUUCUGAGUUUUUCACUACAUUGAAGGUUCUAUGGGAAGAACUUGAAGCAUAUCUUCCCACUCCGGUUUGUGCUUGUCCCCAUCGUUGUACGUGUAAUACUGGUGUGCUUAAUGCUAAGCAUCAGCAUGAGAUUACACGCUCUAUCAGAUUCCUCACUGGUCUCAAUGAUCAAUUUGAUCUUGUACGUUCUCAAAUCUUGUUGAUGAACCCUUUACCAACUCUCAACAAGAUUUUUUCAAUGGUAUUGCAGCAUGAAAGACAAUUUAGAGUUUCUAUUCCUGUUGAUGAGUCAAAAAUCCUUAUCAAUUCAGUGAAUAAGUUUCAAGGGCGAGGACGUGGUAAUGGAAGUACUUCUGGUGGUGCAAAGCGUUCUUGUUCCUUUUGUGGACGAAGUAAUCAUACUGUUGAUACUUGCUAUAAGAAGCAUGGUUUCCCUCCAAAUUAUGGUAAGAAUUUUGCUAAUGCUAACAAUUCCUCCCUUGAGAUGCAUGAAGAAAGGGAGGAUCUUGAUGAUUCAAAAAGCUGCAAAGGAAGUGAUUCUUUUAGCAUGACAAAAGAGCAAUAUGAACAUCUGGUUAAUCUUCUUCAAACUCAACAAAGUUCUUCUAGGAGCAAGGUGAACCAUGUCACUAAUCAUGUGACAUCAGGUAUAUCCACACUUUCAUAUGCUCUGAAUCACUGCAGUUUUGGUUCAUGGAUAGUUGAUUCAGGAGCAAGUGAUCAUAUAUGCUCAUCUAUUAAAGCUUUUGAUUCCUAUCAAUCUAUUAAACCUGUUCAUAUUAAGUUACCAAAUGGUAACAUAACUAUAGCAAAAAUCUCUGGCACAGUGCAAUUCUCUUCAGGACUUGUUGCCAAAAAUGUGUUAUAUGUUGCAGACUUCAAAUUAAAUCUUUUGACUGUACCCAAACUAUGUGUUGAUGAUGAUUGCAUAGUAACUUUUGAUAAUGAUAAAUGUUUAAUACAGGAAAGGAGGAACUUGAAGAUGACUGGUUUGGCUGAUUUGAUAGAGGGAUUGUAUUUUCUGACCACUCAAGCUUCCCCAUCAACCAAACCUCAAUUUGUCAUAGCUUCUAUCAACUCUCAAAGUUCUUCUUUUCUACCUCAAGAAGCCUUAUGGCAUUUUAGAUUAGGUCAUUUGUCCAAUCAUAGAAUGCUUAGCUUAAAACAGUCUUUUCCUUGUAUUAAGAUUGAUGACAAUUCAGUUUGUGAUAUAUGUCAUUACUCUAGACAUAAGAAAGUACCUUUUCAUCUCAGUGUAAAUAAAGCAAACAAAUGCUAUGAAAUGUUUCAUUUUGAUAUAUGGGGUCUUGUUUCUAUUCCUUCUAUUCAUGGUCACAAAUAUUUCAUUACUGCUCUUGAUGAUCACAGUCGUUUUACUUGGAUCAUCCUAUGUAAAUCAAAAUUUGAAGUUCAAAAACAUGUUCAAAAUUUCAUUAUCAUGAUAGAAAAUUAGUUUAGUUGUCAUGUUAAAACUGUUAGGACGGAUAAUGGUCCUGAAUUUCUUAUGUCAGAAUUCUAUUCUUCUAAAGGCAUUGAGCAUCAAACAAGUUGUGUUGAGACUCCCCAACAAAAUGGGAGAGUAGAAAGAAAACAUCAACACAUCUUGAAUGUAGCUAGAGCUUUACUUUUCCAAUCAAAAUUACCUAAACAGUUCUGGUCUUAUUCAGUUUUGCAUGCAGUUUACAUAAUCAAUAGAAUUCCUACUCCUCUGCUGCAAAACAAAUCCCCUUAUUUUCUCAGAUUUGGUAAUAAUUGUGAUUUAAAUGAUUUCAAAGUCUUUGGUUGUCUUUGUUAUGCCUCUACCUUACAUAAUCAUAGAACAAAAUUUGACUCUAGAGCCAAAAAGUCUCUUUUCUUAGGAUACAAGCAAGGUGUUAAAGGAGCUAUUCUUUUUGAUCUUGACACCAAAAUCAUUUUUGUGUCCAGACAUGUAACCUAUCAUGAACAUAUUCUUCCUUACUCUAAUUCAAAUCAACCUUUUCAAUGGCAGUACCAUUCAAAUCAACCUAUAUCUUCUGCCAUUGAACCUAUCACCAAUCUCAACACUAAUCAAAAUGAAUCCACUGUAACCAAAGCCAUUAACCCUGAAGAUUCUGAAACUGAGAUAUCUUCCAACAUUGAACUUGAUGAUCACAUUCAACCACAUUCACAAACUUUACCUGAACCAGAUUAUUUAUCUCUUAGAAAAUCAACCAGAAUUAUACAAAAACCAACCUAUCUGUCAGACUAUGUAUGCAAUCUCUCUAAAGAAUCAGACAAUUCAUCAUCUUCAGGUAUACUUUAUCCUAUCACUCAUUUUCAUUCACUCAAUAGUUUAUCCCCAAACAUCAGAAGUUUGCUCUAGCUGUUACUAAUGCUGCUGAACCUACAAGUUACAAUGAAGCAAGCAAGCAAGAGUGUUGGGUUAAGGCUAUGGAAUCUGAACUUGAUGCUUUGAAACACAAUAAAACUUGGAUUUUUGUGGAUUCACCACCCAAUGUCAAACCUAUUGGUAGUAAAUGGGUGUAUAAAAUCAAACAUAAGGCAGAUGGGAGCAUAGAGAGGUACAUGGCCAGACUGGUGGCUAAAGGCUAUAAUCAAGUUGAAGGCAUUGAUUUUUUUGACACUUUUUCACCAGUAGCCAAAAUUACUACUGUCAGAACUCUCCUUGCCUUAGCAUCAAUCAACUCAUGGCAUCUACACCAAUUAGAUGUGAACAAUGCUUUUCUCCAUGGAGAUUUAUCUGAAGACGUUUACAUGACUAUUCCUCAAGGUGUUGUCAACAUAAAACCAAAUCAAGUGUGUAAAUUGUUGAAGUCUCUUUAUGGUUUAAAGCAAGCCAGCAGAAAAUGGUAUGAAAAAUUGACUAGUUUCUUAAUCAGUCAAGGUUACAAACAGUCUGCUUCUGAUCAUUCCCUCUUCACUCUUCAUUCAGAUCCCAUGUUCACUGCUCUUCUUGUGUAUGUGGAUGAUGUCAUUUUAGCAGGGAAUUCAAUGGAUGAGAUCAAUAAAAUCAAGGUUACCCUUGAUGCAGAAUUUAAAAUCAAGGAUCUUGGUCAACUUAAAUAUUUCCUUGGCAUAGAGGUGGCACAUUCUAAACUUGGAAUUAGUAUAUGCCAAAGAAAAUAUUGUCUUGAUCUUCUUCAUGAUACAGGCUUACUUGGUUCAAAGCCAGUUUCAACACCACUUGAUCCAUCUAUAAAGCUACACCAAGAUACUUCAAAAGCUUUUGAUGAUAUUUUUAGCUAUAGAAGACUUGUGGGAAAACUCUUGUAUCUCACCACAACCAGACCAGACAUAGCUUUUGUAACUCAACAACUAAGUCAAUUUCUAUCAACUCCAACCAUUACUCAUUAUGAAGCAGCUUGCAGAGUUGUCAAGUAUCUUAAAGGCACUCAUGGUCAAGGUUUAUUAUUCAGAAGAGAUUCAAUUUUACAGAUACUUGGAUUUACAGAUGCAGAUUGGGCUGGAUGUCCUGAUACUAGAAGAUCCACUUCUGGUUAUUGUUUCUUCCUUGGAUCUUCCCUCAUUUCAUGGAGAGCUAAGAAGCAGCAUACAGUUUCCAGAAGUUCAUCUGAAGCUGAAUACAGAGCACUUUCUUUUGCUAGUUGUGAAUUACAAUGGCUUCAUUAUUUGUUGAAAGAUUUGGGAGUGUCAUGCAUCAAGUCACCUGUAUUGUACUGUGAUAAUCAGAGUGCAAUACAUAUUGCUGGGAAUCCUGUGUUUCAUGAGAGAACAAAACACUUGGAGAUAGAUUGCCAUUUUGUUAGAGAAAGAUUACAGCAGGGUCUUUUCAAGUUGCUUCCUAUCAAGUCUCAAUCACAACUUGCAGAUUUCUUUACUAAGCCUUUGCCACCUAAGAACUUUCAUUCUUUCAUUUCCAAGCUCAACAUGUUGGACUUAUACCAUGCUAAGCUUGGAGGGAGGGUGUUAAAAUUGUAUCUUUGUUUGUUAUAAUUAGAUAGCUUGGAGAACAAGUUACUUUGCAACUCCAUAGAAUCUUACUAUACACUAGCUGCAUCUGAUCUUAAUUCACUAGAAAGUUUGUUAGGAUCUUAAACAGCUAUAUAUAGCUUGGCUGUAACCGUUUUCUUCUCAAUUCUAUGAAUCUAGCUUUUAUCUCAAUUUUCUCUCUUUCUUCUUUGGUAAGCUUCUGCAUUUCUUCACUUCACCAUGGAAAAUAGGGUGAAGUUUAACAGGUUACACAACGAACAUCCCUCAAAAGGGAGUUAGAGAUAAAAGCAGGAAUUAAAUUAAAAAUUCCACAAGUAACAUAUGAAGAAAACCCCGACUUGGCUACACUAUCCGCCACAAGAUUGACCUCUAUCUCAAAACAUAAGUGAUUUUGACAUAAUCAUAACCGAUACCGAAAGCAAUGCUAUAGAUAAUGAGUAUUGCUAGCAAAACUCAAAAACUCACUUCAUUAUUGGUUCAAAUUAAGGUGGGGCUCACACAUUCGAAAUGGGUUUCACUUAAAGUGUGGGAUAUACACUAGUUUCAUCCAAUAAAAGAAUGAAUGUUAAAGAGAGUAUCCCAAGCAUUACUCAUAAAACAAUUAACUCCGAACCAUACCCAUCCCUAGUAAGCAUAAUUUCAAACCAAGGUUUCAACCGACGGUAAUUAAUUUCUUUUUUUUUUUUAACAAAGAGAAGAAAAUAACGUAAUUAAUUGUUGUUUGUUGGGUCUUUUUUUUUCUUCUUUCUUCCAGGUGCUAUAAUAGUAUAGAGCAAUUAAUUGUCUUAUCUUUGUUAGCUUCAAAACUCCACAAGUAAUAAGGGUAAAUAAGUAAUUACAUAGUAACCCUAUGUUAUCUUUCAAUUUCAAACAAUCUCUUCCACUUCAGUCUUCUUCUUCUUCUCUCACGAUCACAACCACCACAGUCACAAAGCAUUCAGCUUUGUUUUCUGUCAUCAUCACCGAUUCUUCCUCUCAAUAAACAACUAGGGUUCCAUCUUUUCCUCCUCUACUUAAUCCGCUGUGAGCAUUCUGGCUUUUCCUACUCUUUCAUAUUCGCGCACAUAACAUGUUUGUGAAAUGUCCUCUGUGGAUUCUCUGUUUAGAAUAACCCUGCAAGCUCAAAUUUUAACUAUCCUUAUGUUUUUAUGUAAUUAGAUGUUGGAAUAAUAUAUCAUAGUACUACCCUUUGAUGCUCAGUUUUAGAAUCUCUUGCUGAUAACUCUUUUUUCAACCAAUUGAUUGAAAUUCAAAAAACAUUGAAUAAAAGGAACUGCAAGCAAACAUGAAAGCAAAGUCCAACAACAAGUAUUCGAAAUGUGGUGCUAUAAAAUAUCUUUUGUUUGCAAUAAACGACGACUGCAAACUCGGCAUAUACAUUGGACACAAUAAUGAGUUGGUAAGGUAUUUGGAGGAUGGUCGUGAAGAUGAUGUACCUACAUUUACACAAACAAAUAUCAUACUGUUUACCGCGUAGAUUGAGAUAUAUUGGUUAUUAUUGUAUCCAACGUAUCUGUCUCGUCAACGUUUAGUACUGGAGGUCGAGUCCUUUACUCGUUUGGUAGUUAAUUAAAUCUCUACUGUUGAAGCUUUGAUUGCACCCCAAAUUGGAUCAAAUCUCUCAAGGUCAUUGAUUUAGAACUGGUUGAAGUGGGAAAGAUCGAGUAAAGUGUGGAUUCUUUGUUUUAAUUUUCAAAUCUUUUUGAUUAUAUUAUUAAAAUCAAAUUGUUUGUGUUUAAAUUUUAAGGUAUUUGUGAGUGUUGUAUUUAUUUCUUUGUGUUGCUGUCGUCGUCGUUGUGCUUAUUUAAAUUUUUAAUCUUAUUAUGUUUGGUAGUGUUAGGAUUGGAUUCGCUACUGCCUUUUGCAUUUGCAUUUUGUUGGUGUGCUGCUACUAGAUUUGUUGCUACAUGCUGUACCUACUGCUUUUGUUGCUACUUAAGUCUUAAUUUGUAUUUUGAUGUUGUUGCUACUGUUUUUGCAUUCAAUUUACAAUUAAAUCAUGUAAAAUUUUGGAUUUGCAUUCUGUUUGUUCGAGAUUUGCAUUAUAUUUGCUGAUUGCUUGCUAUCAUUUACAACUUCUAGAUUUUUGUGGAAAUUAUGUGUUUUAUGAAGAUUGGUACUAUUAUUAAGUUGGCUGAGCCUUCAAACGAGAAUCAUGAACGAGAGCUUCUUCGUCUUCUUCUAGCAUCAUAGCAAUGGAAAUCGGAAUUGAUUAUUGGAUAACGGUGAAACGGUUCGAAGAACGGUUAUGGAAAAUUGAACGGUAAUAGAGUAAUAGAGAGAACAUGGUUAUGCAGCACUCAAGUGAGGGGGUCUCAAAGUUACCUAUGGUUAUGGAGAAUUGUACGGAUCGAACUUUUCCAUUUUUUUUUCAUUUAUUUAAUUACUAUGAUGUAUAUGUGGCUUUUUCAUGGGUGCCUCAAAGUUGCAUAAGGGAGUAAAGUUAGAGGGUUGGAAAGUGGGUUUUUUUAAUAGGGGAUCAAAAUCGCAACUAUUGCAAGUUAUUUUAUUUUAGGAACAAAUAUUUGAAAGAUGGAGUCUUGGAGCAAAAGAAAGGAGAAUUUGAGCUAAUUCGUGCCAAAAAUAUGAAGAUCUGAUACAAAAAUAUCUUGUGCAAAUAAUUUGAAGAUCUUGUGCAAAAAUAUAACAAGUGGCGGGCCCCUUUUACCCUUUUGCUGCUUUUGCUUCUUCGACAAAGCUGCCUAUUUUAGUAUUUCAGACCUAGAGCCUAUGGUUUCUUGUGCAACACUUUAGUGAUUUAAUUCUUAGGGCUCAAGUCAAUGUUAGACUAUAAAUAGAUCAGUCCCCUAGUUUGUAAAACCAUCUUUUGUUCUUGAAAUAAUAAGUGACAAUUGUUUUCAAUAAAAAGAUCAACCUUUAUUUUAUGUUCUUCUUCUUCUUCUUCUCUUCUAUGUCUACAAUGAACGUGAGUGAGUAGACUCUUCUUGUCUUGGGAUUGUUGGAUAAGUCUAAUGACGUAAUCCUAAUCAAACCAAACCAUAAACCCUAAUUUUAUAUAAAUCCACUUUCUAAUCUAAUUUCACCGUUUUGAUAAUGAAUUAACAAAUACCAAACUCAUAAAGCGAACGCGGAGGGAUAGUAUUUGUUAAUUCAUCAUCACAAAUAUCAAUUCAUAAAAGCGAACACGGAGCUUUGAUAUUGGAACAAGUGAAAUUAGACAAGGAUUGCGAAAUAUGAGAAUAGUCUAGCAAACCUUGAGAAACAUAAAGUUUUGUUCUUCAAGGAUUCUAAUAACAAUCAACCAUGAGAAUAGGCGUGGUUGCUAGAGGAACACACUCAAUGAUUUUGAGAGAAACUUUGAUACGCUUAAGAGAAACUUGUCUUUAGAAAGUAGGUCCAAUAUAAAGUUUAGGUUUAGGGUUUGUUUGUGAAGGAAUUGUCACUAUGACGAACCAAUAAUCCCAAGGCGCUAUUAUUUUAUUAUUAUUAUUUUCUUUUAAUUAAACAAAAAUACAACUUUCUACCUUCUAAACUUUCAAUCUAAUCAUUGUUAAAAGUUAAUUGAAUUCAUAACUCCCUGUCGGAACGAUACUCUUUUUAUUACUUCGAUAGAACCGUGCACUUGCGGUUUUACUCAUCACCCCUGAAGUUGAGGAACACUUGGUAUGUGAGUCCAUAGGAAAAGGAUGAGGUAGAGGAAGGUGAUUGAAUAACCAUAUAUAACAACUACGCAGAAAUGGAAAUAAGAAUAUAGUUCAAGAAUGAAGAAUAUAUUAAUUUGUAAAGAUUUGGCACACUUGUCUAAUCCGCACAUCUGAACCAAUAAAAGGUUUAGAAGGUUGUUCAGAAGUUUCAUCAGAACAAACCCAUAAAUCAUUGUGCAUAUCAAGAACAUGCAAGAACAUACAUGAUAUGAACAUAUCAUAUGCAAAAAAGGAUUUCAACUCUAUGGUAAUUAAAUGAUUAAUGGACUUUGAUGUUCUUGGUAUUUAACAUAUGUUCUUAAGUGAUUAACCAAAACAGGAACAAAGUAUAAAUCAAACCAAGAUUCAAGUGAUCAAAGAACAUUAAAGCUUAUGAACCCAAUAAUAGUUCAGAAGGUUAGUUAGAGUUUAGAAGGUUCGAAGAUAUUUCAGAAGGUUGUUCUAAAGGUUUAUCAAGAAUAAGCCCAUAAAUAAAUUAACAUUAUCAAGAACAUACAAGGCUCACAUGGCAUAAAAGAAAGUGCAUAAAAGUACUAUGACUUUAGAUCAAUCAAGGAUUAAAUGCAUUAAUUUGGAUAAAAUUUAAAAGGAAUAUUAUUCUAAGAAAAAUUAGGAAUAUUCUUCUAAGAAAAUCAUCAUAGAUGUUAUGCAUAGUGCACCUCAUUGAUGCCCUUCAUUCAAGUUCACUAUUAAUAUUUGAUAGCAUCAGAUGAAGAUCAUUAAGAUGAUCACAAAUAUUCUGAAGUUCAAAAGGUCGUUCAGCUACAUGUUUUAUCUGACAGAAAGGUACAAUAGGUGAAAAAGCAAAAAGCAAAAGCAAAAUGCAAGAUCAAUUCAGAUUCAAUUAUAAUUAGACACAUAAGGGAGCAUAUACGUUCAGUAAAAAUGAUUACACAAAUCAACUCUAAAUAUUCCUAAAAUCUUAAAGAGUGUGUAACAUUUCUCUCUUAUCUUUUCAAUGAUAAUCUUCUUCUUCUUUCAAACCUCCAAACCAUUGUAAGAGAAAAUCUCAUCUAGUUUUAAGGGUAUUAAAAUGUUAGUUGAGUAAAAGAAAAGAGUAGAGUCUUGUCUGACUUAGAAAGAAAAGUUGUAAGCCUAUUGAGGCUAGAUAAUACAGUUUUUGCAUGCUAAGGCUAGAUAAUACACUUUGUAAGCCUGCUGAGGCUAAGAUAAUACAGAAGGUAAAGUCCCUAGUGGUAGAAAGUGUAAGGUGCAUGAGUUGAGAAGGUUGUCUCAAGGAUCAUAGUGAACAUCUCACAGUUGUGAGGAGUGGAAUAACCCACAUUAGAUGAACCACUAUAAUUCUCGUGUGUUAUAUUCUUUACCAUUACUCUUUAUUUUUAACAUUAAUAUUUACAUUCACUUUACACACCAUUAUCCCUUUAUUUAUUGUUUAUUACACUCACACUUCUGCAUGUACUUCAGAACAUUCUGAACUUGACCUAGUUUUUAUUUAUUUCAAGUAUCUACUUGAGAAUCACUUACCACAAGUGCAAGUUAAAUUUAAAAAGGGUCAUAAUUAAACCCCCCUUAUUUUGAAUAUUAUUUCCACUUCAAAGAAAACAGAUUACAUAAUGCUAUUGUUGUUCUUGAGAAGAGAAUAAAACAAAUCAGAGAGAAAAGGACGAAGAGAAGAGGAAGGUGGCGUUGUUGUUGUGCCUGUGUUUUUUUUUUUAAUGAAUUUGUAGGUUUUUUUUUAAUAAAUUUUUUGGAUUUGUGAUAAACACCAUGAACUUAUAAGUUAAAGAAGAUGAAGAUGAUGCUGAACAUAUAUCCUAGACAAAAAAAAAAAUAAAAAAAAUAAAAAAAGAAAUUAUACAAUCACAAUGCCACAUAAUAAAAAAUGCUGACUCAGCGCGCCGCAUCACUUUAGUUACCUAGUUAGAUGAGGCCAUGGUCGAUUUAUGAAGAAUCUUGAUUUUACAAUGAUGAAAUCUACUUUUUUACUACAUGAGGUAAACUGGAAAUGACUUAUAUUACAGGGGAUAAAACACUCUUAACCCUAGAAUAUAACAUGGAAGAGUUAAAUUCUUCAAUUUAUAAAAAAUAAAAUGACAUUAGAAGUUUAAAAAGUCAAAAUUUAGAGUUGGUUAUAUUAAAGCAACAAAGAAACUCAAAUGCACAAAUAAUAUUAUAGUGUCAUAUUAAUGUACAAGAGAAAUCCAUAAAUUUCACUCACAAUACAUUAAUGAGCAAAGACGGAGUACCAUGAGUAUUGUAUGCAUACCCAGUACGUGUACUUUAACGUUUUACAAUUACUUAUACUUCAAAGUAUAUUCUGUUUAACUAAUAAAUUGUACACUUACUUGAUUUUCCUCGUAAACAUUACCAUUUAAAACAUGAGGGAAAUUGGAAAUGANNNNNNNNNNNNNNNNNNNNNNNNNNNNNNNNNNNNNNNNNNNNNNNNNNNNNNNNNNNNNNNNNNNNNNNNNNNNNNNNNNNNNNNNNNNNNNNNNNNNUCCCCUCCCCUCCCCUCUCAUCCGCUUCUAAAAAUUGAACCAAACACUUCAAAUUAAAAAUCUUCCCUCCCCUCCAAAACUCUCGAACCAAAUGAACCCUAAAGUGAUCGACUUAUAAUUUGAAACAGAGGAGUAAUACUUAUGGAUCGGAGUAAAGAGUGCAGUGAGUGAAUUGAUGUAAAAUUUAGUUUUUUUCAUGCUAUAAUAUCUAUAAUGACUAUCGGGGUGCUAUUGUUAUUGACAAACUAGUUUACAAUGAAAACAAAUAUUACAAUGGAAACAAAUAUUACAAUGUUUGUGUAAUACACAAAAUUAUCAACCUAUUCGUCCUUCCUCAUGAUGCCCCUAAAGUCAACCUUCAUCCAGUAGAACUACAAUUUGAAGCUUACUGUUUGAUUUUUGAGUUACUGAUUCACAUUUAAUUUCCAUGAUAUUAUUGACGAUUGGUCAAACAUAAAAUAAAACUACAUUUUAAUUGACUUGUUUUAUUUAUUUAUUUAAGUUUUCUCGUUGUUUUAUUGUUUGAAUGGUAACCACAUUUAAGAUAUCAGCAAGAAGAGGUGGUAGUGCAACGAUAUCUACUCUGUGAUUGGUCCACACGCUAUAGGAUGUUGCAAGGAAGUUUCACUUACUACUUUUGUCAUUAGUUUUCUCCUUGUUUUAAAGAAUCCACCUAACAGACCACACAAAUUACUCAUUCAUAUUCUCCAUUUUCAAAGUCUUUUUUCAUCCAUAUUCUUUCAAUUCUCAUGGCUAUGCAAUCACCUUCCCGAGUGUUCCUCAGUUUCAGGGGCAGUGACACUCGCAACAAAUUUACCGGUAAUCUCUAUAAGGCUCUUGUUGACAAGGGAAUUCGUACUUUCAUUGAUGAUAAUGAUCUUGAAAGAGGAGAUGAAAUCACACCAUCACUUGUCAAGGCCAUUGAAGAAUCUAGGAUUUUUAUUCCCAUAUUUUCUGCCAACUAUGCAUCUUCUUCAUUUUGUUUGGACGAACUUGUCCACAUCAUUCACUGCUACAAGACAAAGAGUUGCUUAGUAUUUCCCGUUUUCUAUGAUGUGGAACCUACUCACAUACGAAAUCAGAGUGGGAUUUAUGGUGAGCAUCUUACUAAGCAUGAAGAGAGGUUUCAAAAUAACGAGAAAAACAUGGAGCGAUUGCGUCAAUGGAAGAUAGCUCUUAUCCAAGCUGCUAACUUGUCCGGCUAUCAUUAUAGUCCUCAUGGGUACCCCACUUUACUUAAAACUUGUUUUUCCUUUCUAUAUUUUAUUUCAUUAAUUUUUAUGCCUAAAUAAUCUACUCUCAAAGCUUAAAUAGGAACACAUUUUCUAUUAAUGUUUUUAAAACAAGUGUAAGUUAUUUAUAUGUCAAAAAAGUUAGAAUUGCAUAAUAUAUUCUCAAUACAUGGAUGUGAUUUUGAUUUUAGUGUAUUUUCUAAUUUAUCUUAUUGGACAUGAAUAGAUAUGAAUACAAGUUUAUUGAGAAGAUAGUCGAAGACAUCUCCAACAAUAUCAAUCAUGUUUUUUUAAAUGUAGCCAAAUACCCUGUUGGAUUACAGUCCCGAAUAGAAGAAGUGAAAUUGCUUCUUGACAUGGGCUCUGAGGAUGAGGUCCGCAUGGUAGGACUUUUUGGUACUGGAGGCAUGGGUAAAUCAACACUUGCAAAAGCAGUUUAUAAUUUUGUUGCUGAUCAAUUUGAAGGUGUAUGUUUUCUUCAUAAUGUCAGAGAGAAUUCAAGUCAUAAUAACCUGAAACAUCUCCAGGAAGAUCUCCUUUUAAGAACAGUUAAAUUGAACCAUAAGUUAGGAGAUGUUAGUGAGGGAAUUUCAAUCAUUAAGGAAAGACUAUCUAGAAAGAAGAUUCUUUUGAUUCUUGAUGAUGUUGACAAACUGGAGCAGCUAGAGGCUUUGGCUGGAGGACUUGAUUGGUUCGGUCAUGGAAGCAGGGUCAUCAUUACCACUCGUGAUAAACACUUACUAGCCUGUCAUGGGAUUACAAGUACACAUGCAGUAGAAGAAUUGAAUGAGACAGAAGCUCUUGAAUUGUUGAGGCGAAUGGCUUUUAAAAAUGACAAAGUUCCUUCAAGUUAUGAAGAAAUUUUAAACCGUGUAGUUACUUAUGCAUCUGGCCUGCCCUUAGCAAUAGUAACAAUAGGGGGCAAUUUGUUUGGAAGGAAGGUAGAAGAUUGGGAGCGUACAUUAGACGAGUAUGAAAAUAUUCCCGAUAAAGAUAUCCAAAGGAUACUUCAAGUAAGCUAUGAUGCUUUGAAGGAAAAGGAUCAGAGUGUCUUUCUAGACAUUGCUUGUUGCUUCAAAGGGUGUGAAUGGACAAAGGUUAAAAAAAUACUUCAUGCUCAUUAUGGCCAUUGCAUAGAACAUCAUGUUGGAGUGUUGGCUGAAAAAUCUCUCAUAGGCCAUUGGGAAUAUGACACUUAUGUGACCUUACAUGACUUGAUAGAGGACAUGGGUAAAGAAAUCGUCCGACAAGAAUCUCCCAACAAGCCUGGAGAACGCAGUAGGUUGUGGUUUCCCGAUGAUAUAGUUAACGUUUUAAGAGAUAAUACAGUAAGGAAAACUAAUAUUUAUGAACAAUUUGUUGUUUUAGCUUUAGCCAUGACUUUGAUCAUCCUGCCACCUCAUACUUGUGUUUUUUAUUCACUUAAUUACAUGUAUAUUACUCUAUAUAAUAUUUGUAUUAUGAUUUAUUCUUUUUUUAUUUUGUUAAAAGGGAACUGGGAAUAUUGAAAUGAUAUAUUUAGAAUUUGACUCAACGGCAAGAGAAACAGAGUGGGAUGGAAUGGCUUGCAAGAAGAUGACAAAUCUCAAAACACUUAUCAUUGAAUAUGCUAACUUUUCAAGGGGUCCUGGGUAUCUUCCAAGUAGUUUGAGAUAUUGGAAAUGGAUAUUCUGUCCUUUGAAGUCUCUAUCUUGUAUUUCGAGCAAGGCAAGUGAAAUAAGUUCAUUUUUCAAUUGUGUAUAUUGAUAAUUCUCUAUUAGAUUAUAAUUUUAAUUUCAGCUUAUUUAUUUGUUUUUUAUGCAGGAGUUCAACUAUAUGAAAGUCUUGACAUUGAACUAUUCUCGAUAUUUAACCCAUAUACCCGAUGUCUCAGGUCUUCCAAAUCUAGAAAAGUGCUCCUUUCAAAACUGUGAAAGUUUAAUUAGAAUUCACAGUUCGAUUGGACACCUAAAUAAACUUGAAAUCUUAAAUGCAUCUGGUUGCAGCAAGCUUGAGCAUUUUCCACCCUUACAGCUGCUCUCUCUUAAGAAAUUCAAAAUCUCUCAUUGUGAGAGUCUCAAGAAAAUUACAAUUCACAACUCGAUUGGACACCUAAAUAAACUUGAAAUCUUAAAUACAUCUAAUUGCCUCAAACUUGAGCAUUUCCCACCCUUACAGCUGCCCUCUCUUAAGAAAUUUGAAAUCUCUGGUUGUGAGAGUCUCAAGAAUUUUCCAGAAUUAUUAUGUAAGAUGACAAAUAUAAAAGAUAUUGAGAUAUAUGAUACUUCCAUAGAAGAAUUGCGAUAUUCAUUUCAAAAUUUCAGUGAACUUCAACGGUUAACAAUAUCUGGAGGGGGAAAGCUCAGGUUCCCAAAAUAUAAUGAUACAAUGAAUUCAAUAGUGUUUUCAAAUGUGGAACAUGUUGACCUCAGAGACAACAACCUCUCGGAUGAAUGUCUCCCAAUACUUCUCAAGUGGUUUGUUAAUGUGACAUUUCUAGACUUAUCGGAGAACUAUUUCACAAUUCUUCCCGAGUGCCUUGGUGAAUGUCACCGUCUUAAGCAUCUUUAUUUGAAGUUUUGCGAGGCUCUUGAGGAAAUUAGAGGGAUUCCACCAAAUCUUGAAAGGCUUUGUGCAGACGAGUGUUAUUCAUUGAGUUCCUCAAGUAUA
Molecule: long non-coding RNA, 87343 nt
Filed under: Medicago truncatula (barrel medic)
Lineage: Eukaryota; Viridiplantae; Streptophyta; Magnoliopsida; Fabales; Fabaceae
Description: long non-coding RNA (MTRU_LNC004374)
Rfam family: MIR2680 microRNA precursor family (bases 55572-55739)
Source: RNAcentral